Molecule: long non-coding RNA, 76079 nt
Filed under: Phaseolus vulgaris (common bean)
Lineage: Eukaryota; Viridiplantae; Streptophyta; Magnoliopsida; Fabales; Fabaceae
Description: long non-coding RNA (PVUL_LNC004765)
Rfam family: Small nucleolar RNA Z247 (bases 60882-61020)
Source: RNAcentral
UGUUAAGUUAAUGUGAGCAAAAGUAGGAGCCGGCUCCGUGAUAUCUGGGUAGGUCCUCAGGCUUGAGCAACCACACAAAUCAAGCUUCCUCAACUUCAAAUUGAAAAUGGUGCUUGGAAAAGUUUGAAGUGAAUUACAGUGGGUAAGGUCUAACUUGCAUAGUCCGGUGAGGCUUCCAAUGGAAGAUGGAAUAAUCUCAAGAUUCAAGCAACGGUGCAAACUCAGUUCUUCAAGCCCUACCAAACGUGUCCAAGAUGAAGGUAGUGCCUGUAUGGCUGUGUCGUCUAAGAUGAGCACCGUUAAAUCUUCCAACGUGUCCUGAAUCUCGGGUAAAUUUUCCAAUUUUGAGCAACCCCGGAGAGAAAGUUGCUUUAGGAAUUUCAUAUCAGAAAGAUGAAAUGGAAAGAUUGUAAGAGAAGAACAGUGAGAGAGAUCUAAGCGAUAGAACUGCUUGCGACUAAAGGUUAAGGACACACCUUCCUUGAGUUUUGUGAACACUUUUAAGUGUAUGGUAUUAUUAGCCACUUCUUCUUCCUUAUAUCUGUCAAAAGUAAUUGAGAAAAUUUGACUGGAAGUUGGGAAAAGACCAUGGCGUCGACGUUUACGACGCCGUCGUGAGAAAUUGAUCUCUUUCAUCAUAUCCGGUUCCAGACGAGGGAAUCUUGAGAAAGUUUGACGUUGACGCUCGAGUAUGACAUGAGGGAAUCUGGGUUCACUGGUUGAAAACAUAUUAAGCUUCGGACAACGGGAAAUAUUAAUCCAUCCUGGUGAUGUGGAUAAAAUGUUGCUGGGAAUAUUUACACUUUCGAGAUUAGAACAAUUAUCUAAACAUAAAUAACUGAGCUUGGUGAGGAAUAUCGAGGAGUGAACUUCAAUCAACUUUUCACAAGAACUCAGAAUUAUUUCUUCAAUAUUUGGUGACAUAGAAAGGUCUGGUAUUCUAGUAAGUUUCAGAGAACCAGUCAGGUCGACCCUUUUCAACUUGGGUAAAUUCUGCCACAAAUACUAAAUGAAUGAGGUAACAAAUAAAAACUACUUUAUCUAUUUUUCUUCGGUAAACUAAUUUAUUUUUCAGAAAUGAUGAAAAUUAUAACUAAACUAUAUAAAAUUCCAUUUUAUUCUACUCAUCCUUAAUUUUUUUGUGAAAUCUUGAUUUUGGGAUAAUAUCACUUAAACUUAAGAAAUAUUUGGCAUUAAUGAACUCUAAACAAAUUCAUAUAAGAUAUACAUCACUUUCAAUCCAAAAUCUUAAACUAAUAGGUUUAUGAAUUUUCUUUAUAUGUUGUUUUAAAAAGUUGAGACUAAAUUGAACUUUUGAAAAUUGGGAGGAUGAAAUUAUAUUUUGUCUAUUAAUAUAGGGAUUAAAAAAAUAAUUGAAUCAAAUAUUACUAUUUUUGUGAUGUAUAUUUAUAUAUAAAUAAUUUUGAGAAUUUAGAGUUAUAUCAUAUAUAUAUAUAUAUAUAAAAUUCUUUUUGGUAAUGUAUCCUGUAAUUGUAAGCAAGUAUGAUUAUAUUAAGUGGGUGCGUUUCAAAUAGAGGAGACUACGCACAUACAAAUAUCUCUUAUAAAGUAAGAAAACAAACAAACCGUUACUCAAGAAGAUCAUGUAAUGCAUGACAGACAACAUGGGGAGAUAUCUAUCAUCAAUAAUAAAACGAUGUUUUCUGAGAGUUAAAAUUAAACCUUAUUUAAAAUAAGUCCAUCUUUCCAUAUUUUAUAAUUUGUUGUAUAUUAUAUUGAAGUUUAUGUUAUAAUAAAAAAAAUGACUUAAUUAAUCAAAUAAUGUGGAGAAGGCACAAAGGAAUUGCAAAUGAAAACCAGUAGAUGUAUAAUACAGAAAACAUGCUUGUAUAACUUAUUUUUGUCUUUGAAAGUUUAGAACACAAAGAAACAUAGAUAGCUUGAAAAACCUGAUCUCCUUCCCAAAGUUGUUCAAGAUUGCAGCCUGGCAUUUUGAGGGUCACUAGACUUUGUGGGCAAAAGUUUGGAGGCCAAAAUCUUUGAAGGAAAUUGUCCCAAUAAAGAAUCUUUAAAGUGUCCGGCAGAUCUACAAGAGAUGAUUCAAGAGACUCAUAAGAUUGUCCAUCUUUUCGAAACUUUGUGCAUGUACUACAGCAUCUUUUACUUUGUUCGUAUGUAGUAAUAUACACUGUAUUGCAUCUGACCCCUGAAAGUAAAUCAAUGUAAUUAGAAGAAAAAAACAUGAAAUGUUGCAUUGCAGGAUGUUUGAUGACAGCUCAGUGGUUUGCAAUUUUUCACAAAGUAAAUCCAUGUUCAAUUGAGUAACGACAUAAUACCUUGUUCUUUCUUAAAACCUCUCAAAUUUCCUCAGCAUUAAACAAUCGGCUGCGUUUUCCAGGAUGCUGAGGACACUCUUUACGAACAAUUUCUUGACUCAUUUCUUGUAUUAGAUCGUGCAUCACAAUUCUACCAUCAAAGACAGAUAUUAGGCCCCUAUCUUUGAGAAUAUCCAUUCCAAUCUUAGAAGAGAAACCACAGUCAGCAAGUGUUUCUGCUACCACAAUCUCCUGGCGUCCUCUAUAAAAGCAAGCUAUGUCAAGAAAUAUAUUCUUCUCCUCCUCCUCCAGCCCAUCAUAACUUAAUUUUAAUACAUUGAAAAUAUCAAGAUGUUGGCCCUUUUCCAACUUUUGCAACUGACUCUCCCAUGCUUCUCUUGUUCUGCCAUAAAGCAAUGACCCCAAAAUCUAGAGAGCUAAUGGAAUCCCUUUUGCAUAUCUCAACACCUUUUCUGACAGUUCCCUGUAAGCAAUUUCUUCUGAAGAUUUUUGUUUAAAAGCAAGUAAACUAAAAAGUUUCUGAGAAUCAUCAAAAUUCAACUCCUUAACUUCGUAGAUAUCAUCAGCUCUAGCAUUCUUAAGCACUUGUUUGUCUCUACUGGUGAUAAUCAUUCUACUGCCCUGCCCAAAACUAUCACUCCCUCCUAUUAAUUUUUUAAGUAGAGCUGAAUCGGUAACAUCAUCAAGAAUGAGGAGAGCCUUUGUCCGUUUCAGCCUUUCAUUGUAAUAUGAUAAACCAUGGGAUUUCUUUAUCUCUUCCUUUAGAAGCUCAGACAGAUAUUUUGUUCUGAUACUGUCUAUUCCAUCUUUUUGUAUUUUUUCUUGAACGUCUAAAACAAGGCUGCUGGAACCAAACUGCAAAGCCAAUGUGUGAUAUAUUUGAUAACAAAUUGUAGUUUUUCCUAUUCCUCCCAUGCCACAAAUUCCUAUGAUCCGAACAUGCGGUGACUCAAGAUGCAACAAGGACUGAAUUCCUUCAAUGUGUUUUUCAAUGCCGAUGAUUCCUUGAUCAUAACUGGUGGAAUAACGAUUCAAUUUUCUCAAAAUAUCUUCCACAAUUUCUUCAACAAGUGUGUGUUCUGGCCUGGCAGAUGAUUUAGAAAAUAAAGUAUAAGUAUUCAAGCACAAAAGCUAAACUAAACUAAAGAAAAAAUCAGAGUUAAGAGGAGUGAACAUCAUUGAAUAGAUUCACAUAUCGAUUCUAGUUUCGAGUUUUGGAUAAAAUAAAUAAAUUAAAAAGUUGAAGGUAAGUAUAGGACGUUAUCUUCGUAUAUUAGUUUGGUUGGUUUAGAAAUUGCAAAUCAAGAUGGCAAAAAUACUACAGUAACCGUUUGUGACUUCUGAUAAUAGGGAGCAGAUUUGUAGGUACAAAGUUAAGCUAUAACAUGUGAUAUGGUUCAGAUCCAUGACCGACUAAAAGAAAGACUUGAUUUAUGGUGAGAUGAACACAAUUUUAGUAAAUGAAAAGAAAUCCUGUUUAUCUCGAAAUUAUCUAAUAAAUAUAAUGACCUGGUGACUUUUGAAUCCCAGCCUGAAAGUCCAGCAGCUUCGGUGAGAGCAUCCUUCCAUCCUUGCGCUUUGACCAUGUCGUGCAUAAACCGCUGUUCAUGAUCAUCGAAUGAUUCUUUGUAUCUUUCUUCCUGCUUCCUAAUAGUUGAUGGAUCCACCUUGUAGAAAACAGGUAUCACAUCCCUUCCAAAUCUCUUCUUGCAUUCAAGUAUCUUACUGAGUUCAUUCAAGCACCAAGUGGAAGAUGCAUAGUUUUGGGAGAAAACGAUGACAUAAAUCUUUGAUUCUUCUAUUGCAGAGAGCAGUGCAGGUGAAAUUUCUUCGCCCCUGAGUAGUCUAUAAUCAAUAUAUGCUUCAAUGUUCUUCCUUUGCAGUGCUGCAUAAAGGUGGCUAAUGAAGUUGUCACGUGUGUCUUCGCCUCUGAAGCUGAGAAACACAUCAUGCCUUGUUAGAGAAGUAGACACGGCCAAUGAUGAAGGACUUUCUGACAUUGGAGUCAAUUUUCUCUCCUUUCUCUGCAAUUCUCAGGUCUCUUUCUUUGUACUGUUUCUACCACAAAUCUACUCUGCUGCUCUGGACUCAUUAUAAAACACAAGUCAACUUUUGAAAAAGUCUUUCAAUUUUCUUAACAUUCCUUUCACAGAUAUGUGUUCUGGUCAGACAUCGUAGUCAGCAGAAACUAAAGAAAAAGAAAAAUAUUAAUUUAAUAGAAUAGUCAACAAAUUGCAAAAUAAGUAUGGAAUCUAGAUUUAUAUCAUUAUCACGUGUGGAAACAUAGCUACGUCUUCUUAGAUAAAAUCCUUAUUUAAGUUUUAAUUGGGCCUUGUAGUGGGCUUUGUAAUCUGCUUUUCUUUUCUCCUAUAUUGCUUUAUAUAUACACCUCCACUUUUGCUUUCUACAUUUCAUUUUACAAAAUACAUUCUCUCAUUCUGUGUCAUUUAUCUUGCCUGAUUCCGUCCUCUCUUUAUCUUUUUCUCUCAUCCUCUUGCUUAUAAUUCUUUUGUUUUUAUUAAGAAAUACACUAUAAUUCUAAUUUAAUCAUAUACUAUAAUUAUGCUAAUCAUCAAUUAGUACUAUAUAUUAUUAAUGAUCUGCGUAUAUAUUAUUUAUGAUUUGCGGAUAAGACAAUAGAUUCAAUAAAUUCUAGAUAAAAUAAAUUUUAAAUGAAUAUGAUAAAAAUAUAUUAAAAAAUGAACUUUAUUGAAUCGAUUGAGUAUCUCUAUUUUAAAGACUUGUAAGAAUAAUAGGAAUAACAAUAUAUUAAUAUUAAUAUGUUUCUUAAUAAAUUUCAUACCCACUAUCUAUUUAUAAAUUAAUAUAUUAUAAAUAUCUAAUGAUGUCUUAUUUCUCUAACAUUUAAAAUUAAAUUUGUAGAUUCUACAAAACAUUACAUUUUGAUUUUAAUAUUUAUAAAAUAUUUUUUAUUCUCAUAUUUAAAAAACAAAACUUAGUUUGAGUGUAUUCCUUAGUUACUUACUACUCAUCACCAGCCGCCAACAGCGUGAUGGCUUCACUCUCCGUUCGCGCCACAACCACCUCUUAUCGGGCCUCCUUCCGGCCCAAGCCCACCUCGGGGCCCACCAGGGUCCGAAUGUCCCUCCGCGAUGACGGCCCCGCCAUCGCCGUCGUCGGCGUCACCGGCGCCGUUGGCGAGGAGUUCCUCUCCGACCGCGACUUCCCCUACCGUUCCAUCAAAAUGCUGGCCUCGCAGCUCUCCGCCGGCCGCCGCAUCAUCUUCGAGGACAGGGACUACGUCGUGGAGGAGCUCACAGCGGAUAGCUUCGACGGCGUCGACAUUGCGCUCUUUAGCGCCGGCGGUGGUAGACUAUAGCUCCGCAUUUGGGAUGGACGAGAAGGUGACGCUGGUUAUUCCCGAAGUGAAGCCCCAAACGAUGCAACACAUCAAAGUUGGAACGGGAAAAGGCGCUCUGAUUGCGAACCCUAAUUGCUCCACCAUUAUUUGCUUGAUGGACAUACUAAUUAAUAUCAAUUAUAACAAAUAAUGAACGUUUCUGGUCAUUUCUUGUACUUCGCGUUAUUUCAUAACAGUAGUUUUUUUAAAUAAAUUAAGAAAAAUAUUCAUUUUUAAAUUUAAUGCACUUUUAAAUAAUUUGACUAUUAUAAACAUAAUCACUUAUAAAAAUAAUUUUAGAGUAGUUGAUAUAAUUAAAAUAAAAUAUUUUAUUAUUAAAGUAAAAAUUAUAUAUAAAUAAAAAAUAGGUUUUAUUUUAAAAUAAUAUUCAAUUUUAUAAAAGUUUUUUCUUUUUGUCUUUUUUUUUUUAUAUUUCUAACCAUAUUUUUUCGUGAGGUUGAUAAUAGAAUCUCACUUUGGAUUUAUGGGAAUGAAUAAUGAAUUAGUUUUUAGUUUUCUAUUUAUCUAUAUAUAAAGGUGAUACGGUGACAAAUUCCAAAAUUUUAUUAUAAUGUUUGCUUUGUUGAUUGAAAUAGAUGUUAAUUGAUGAAAAAGAUUGAAAGUUUUAAACCCAAUACACCCCUCACGUCGAGGUUAGGUGGACUGAUAAGUUCAGCAAAAUCUCGUUAUGAUAGUUUUUAGAUGACUCUGAUACCACAAUAAAAAAUAAACUUUAAAUUUAACUCAACCUUACAAAACUAAUUUAUAAAGUGAGCUAUGUAUCCCUAGUCGAUGUAGAAUCUCUAACAAUGAUUUAAAUGAAUUGUUAUAUGCUUUAUGAAGUUUAACCUUUAUUUUUACUUGACAAAUUGGAUUUUAAUGAGGUAUAUAUGCUCUCAGCAUCAAAUCCGCUUAACGAAAUUUAUAUGUGUCAAGCGAAUUUGGACAUGUAGAGUUUGAUGUGCUCUUGGCCUCAAAUCCGCUCAAUGUUUUUUUUUCCUGUACUUAAGCAAACUUACAUCCAGAUUUUGGAGUACUUUCGAACUCAAAUUUGCUCAAAGAAAUUUUCUUAUGGUAAGCAAAUUUAAGCGGCUAUUGUUUGGAUGUUCUCUGCCUCAAAUUCGUUCAGUGAAAUUUUCCUGUGCUAAGGAGAUUUCUCUGGGCUUAAGCCCCAACUUCAUGGGCUCGACCCAUUUUGACGACAUUUGUCAUCUUUGCUUAGAUAUCUUUUGGUUUGUUUUCUAUAGGUCAUGAAAUUGAAUUAAAUCUUUUGAAAUUUAUCAUUUUGUAAAUUGUAAGUGAUUACAACUUUCUAAUGUUCAUGCAACAUGUGUUUAAAAUAAGUAAAUCUAACAAAUAAAUACUCGUUACAUAUUCAAUGGAAAGCUUUUUCUUUUAAUUCUUUGGUGUUUUAUUUUGAUGAUGUAUAUAUUUGAAAAUCAAUGUAUGAAUGGAUAAUGCUUUAUGAUAUAAUAAUAUUACAAUGUAAAUGUUAUUUAUAUACUAUCACAUGAUAAAUUAAAAUUUAAUAAGAUAGUUAAGGAUGUUAUAAUUAUUCUUUUAAUUUAUUUUAUUUCACUGUAUAUUUAGGUGUAUUACGUAGAAUGUAUAGUUAAAAAAAUAAUGUUAUUUUGAAAUUUAAAGAAUGACGUAUAGAAAUAAACAAGCUUUUGUUAAAAUUAUACUAUUUGAAAAGGAACACAGAACAAUAUUGACAAUUAUACUUUUACUUAUUACUUAUUUUAAUUUAUUAUAUUCAUGAGUAUUAUUUUUUUUAAACAUAGAUAUUGGAUAAAAAAUAUAAAUAACAUUUAUUUAUUUCAAAUUUAAAAAUCUUUAAAAUAAAAUUAAAUAAUAUUUUUAAUUAAGAUGUGUUUUUUAACAAUUUUUUUAAUUUAAAAAAUAAUUAAUUCGGAGGAUGAUUAAAGAAAUAUUAACAAAUUAUUUCUGCGUUUAUAAUAAACCUUCAAUAAUAUUUGUACUUUCUAGCAUAUAGAAUACUUAAUGGAUCCCUUUGUGAUUUUUCUUUUCUAAAGUGCAAUUGAUAUUUUAAAUGUUUUUCUAUUUAAUUUUCCUUUCUUAAUGACACAUUAAAGGGUUCAGUGCACGAUUAAUUAUUCUCACCUUAGAUUUCAUUCAUCUCAUUCCAUUUCCACACUCAAAUCAUUCUCACAUUUUUUUCUACCUAUUUCACAAAGUUUUAUGUAAAAUAUGGAAAUUAAACUAAAAGAACCCUACUUAUAUAUUAAUAUUCAACAACUUAAAAUAUUACUAUGCAAAUUAAUCUUUCUUAAUAAUGUUAUGUAAAAAUUAAAAUGUAGUUUAGUCAUUCAUACUUAGAUGGAUAAAGAUGGUUUUAGAAAAAAAAUGCAUUUUAUUUCAAAUCUAUUACUUAUAAAAUGAGUUAUAAAAUGAGGUUUGUGAUAUUUAUUCAAAAUUUAAAUUAUAUUAUGCAUUUAUGGUUUUAUGUUUUUAAAGAAAUCAGAAACUUAGAAAAGCUCCUAAAAACUACUGAAAUCCAUAAGAUGAUAAUUAAUAAACAUCCUCUCUUAAUAACAUAACAUAUAAGAUAGGAGUCUUUACACUUAUAUUCUUCAAACAAUUAUAAGCUGUCUUCAACUUUACUGUUAAACUACAAUUAUAAAGAAUUAACAAUCUCACACACCAACAACAUUUAUAAGCCAUCACUCACAUGAAACAAGGUGCCUCAAUGUGAAAAAACCAAGAUCAAUAAGAAAUGAGGUUCCACUUAACCAAGCUGAGAAUUUUCUGGUUUUCCAACUCCAUGCACAAACCUAAUACAAUGAUAUGAUAUUCAAUCAGCAUUAAUUGGCAUAAACAGGUACAUUGUUGUAAAACUGGGAUUAUAAGGUUCCAUAGGAUGGAGAAAAGUAAGAAGAGGAUUUACCAAUUACCCUUUCAAAUGGAGCUCCUCAGGAUUUCAUAAUGCCUUCACUGCAAAUGCAACCCAAAUAUGCUAAAAAAGUUAAUGAAACUAUAUAUGAAGAGUUUCAAGAAAAUGCAACUCUGGGACAACAGAGAAACCCAUCUCAUGCUGAACAGAAACAUCAAACUAUAUCUAACAAUAACUUAGAAAUCUUUGUCAACAAUUGAACGAACCCACUCCUAAAAUGCCAUUGAAAAUGUAAAUAAAACAAAAUAAAUUAAAAACGAGAAAUUCAUAAUAAAAAUUCAACGUGUUGAAACUUAUGAUAACUCAGUUUAGAUCCUGACCAAUGAAAGACUAAUUAGCAGAAGAGGAAGAGACUAGUUGACAGGGUAGCUUUCGGCCUUUCUCUUCCUAUCUUUCCUUGUUUCUCUUGAAGACUGUGCAACAUUGCUUCCACUGGAUUCUUCAAUGUCAACAUCACCACCAUAUUUAUCAUCUUUCUUUUUGGUAUAAAGGGGGCAUAUGCCGCAUUCUUUUAUUGUGAUGUCUGAUGCCAUCACUCUCACACCUGAUUUGUAACUAUACAGACUGAUCUCAAAAGUGAAGCUGCGAGCAUCACAGACCCUAAGGCUCUUGCGGCUCGCCGUUAGGGACUCCAUGUUAAAUUUCCACACGAAUGUGUGAUCUUCAUCAACACAUCUGUGUUCACCAUUCCAUUUGAAAUAGCUGUUUAACACAUCAUUAUUUAGAAUGAUCUGUGUGCCAUCAUCAUCAUCAGAUUCAAAUUUUAGACUGUAACCAAAAGAACCAUAUCUACAUUUAACAGCUUUCGUAUCUAACACUCCAAAAACCACACACAAAGCGAAACCAGUGAGCCUAUCAUCGCUGCAGAAACUUAAAUCUUCAUUUAUAGUCACUGAAUGUCCCUUCCCACGAGAAUGGAACCAACGAGGAACUGCAUUCCCUGGAAAACAGAAGAACACAGACCUAUAUGCAUCGUCGGUCAUCCUAACCCAUGCAUCCUCCUCAAUGUUAGCACGAGCACCUGAAUCCAGUUGCUGAGCAUUGGUGAAAUGAAAUUUGAAGACACCCUCUUUGGAGUUUGAGAAGUUUGGAACAAGAGAAUUUGACAUCACUCUUCUGAUGGAUGGGCAAUCCAAUGCCACGAGUUGUUUUAGAAAUGGUGGAAUCUGUGGGAUGGAUUCAAGUUUUUUGCAGUCGCUUAAAUCGAGCGAGUUCAAGCUUGAAAGAUGAGCAAUGCUCUCAGGAAGGUUCACGAUUCCGCUAUCACGCAGUGACAGUUCCAUUAAUGACGUCAAGCGACCGAUGUGGCUUGGGAUUUCUGUUAAUUUGGCACACCCCGAACAAUCAAGUUUAGAGAGAAGCUUCAGAUUAACAAUGGAGUUUGGAAGUGACUCGAGAUGAAUGCACUCUUGGAGUUCCAGGGAUCGAAGAUUAACGAAAUUGCCAAAUGAGGAAGGCAGUUCUUUAACAGCCGUAGAUGUUAAGUUAAUGUGAGCAAAAGUAUGAGCCGGCUCCGCGAUCUCUGGGAAGGUCCUCAGCCUUGAGCAACCACGCAAAUCAAGGUUCCUCAACUUCAAAUUGAAAAUGGUGCUUGGAAAAGUUUGAAGUGAAUUACAGUGGGUAAGGUCUAACUUGCAUAGUCUGGUGAGGGUUCCAAUGGAAGAUGGAAUAAUCUCAAGAUUCAAGCAACUGCGCAAACUCAGUCCUUGAAGCCCUACCAAACGGCACAAGGAUGAAGGUAGUGCCUGUAUGGCUGUGCCGUCUAAGAUGAGCACCACUAGAUCUUCCAACGUGUCCUGAAUCUCGGGUAAAUUUUCCAAUUUUGAGCAACCACUGAGAGAAAGUUUCUUUAUGAAUUUCAUAUCAGAAAGGUGAAAUGGAAAGAUUGUAAGGGAAGAACAGUGAGAGAGAUCUAAGUAACAGAGCUUCUUGCGAUUAAAGUUGAAGUGACAGAGCUUCAUGAGUUUUGUGAACACUUUAAAACAUAUAGUAUCAUUAGCCACUUCUUCUUCCUUAUAUCUGUCAAAAGUAAUUGAGAAAAUUUCACUGGAAGUUGGGAAAAAAGGACCACGGUGUCGACGUUUACCACGCCGUCCUGAGAAAUUCGUCAUAUCCGGUUCCUGACGAGGGAAUAUUGAGAAAGUUUGAAGUUGACGCUCCAGUAUCACAUGAGGGAAUCUGGGUUUACUGAUCGAAAACAUAUUAAGCUUCGGACAACGGGAAAGAGUAAUCCAUCCUGGUGAUGUGGAUAAAAUGUUGCUGGGAAUAUUUACACUAUUCAGAUCAUUACAAUCAUCUAAACAUAAACAACUGAGCUUGUUGAGGAAUAUCCAAGAGUGAACUUCAAUCAACUUUUCACAACUUUUCAGAAUUAUUUCUUCAAUAUUUGGUGACAUAGAAAGGUCUGGUAUUCUAGUAAGUUUCCGAGAAUAACUCAGGUCGAGCCUUUUCAAGUUGGGUAAAUUCUGCCACAAAUAGGAAAUGAAUGAGGUAACAAAUAAAAACUACUUUAUCUAUUUUUCUUCGGUAAAAUAUUAGCUACAUCAUCUAAUCUAUUCACUUUAUAUUUUACAUUACUUCAAAACCACUGUUAAAAAAAAUCACACUGUCAACUAACAAAACUGUGGCUAUAAAUUUAAUAGUUAUUAUAAAAAACCACAAAAUUUAACGUGUUUUUGUUCCCUACCUCAAAUUACAUCCUAAUAAUUUGAACCUAAACUUAUUAUGUAUUUAAAAACUGAUGAUAGUAAUUUAUAAUCGAUGACAGUGUGGAAAUACUUUAUAUCAUGCAUGUAUCAACUGACAAAAUAAAAUGGUGUUGUCUGAUGAUAGUAAUUUAUAAUCGAUGACCAUCUUUCCAUAAUUUAUUUUAUUAAAUACAUAAUUUGUUGUAUAUUAUAUUGAAGUUUAUGUUAUAAUAAUAAAAAAAUACUUAAUUAGGUUUUGAGUAUCCAGUAAGACAUUUUUAAUUAAUUUUUUUAUUAAAUUUUUUAAUUAUUUAAGUACUCAAAUUUUUUAUAUUUCCAAUAGAAUAUAUGUCAUUUUUAAUUUUUGAGUUAAUUGGGUGAUACAGAAAUUAUCUUGUCACAUGAUCUUACUUACUUGUCUUUAUGUAUUAAGGAAUAUGAAGUUUUAUGAUUGGCCAUUAGACUAUAUACCUAAAAAGAGGAUGCAAACUCUUCUACAUGCUACUAAAUUUAUAACUAUCUUUAAUUAGAAACAUGCUGAGUAUGAUUCUUAUGAUAUAUGUAUAACUGUGUGGUUCAAAUAAAAGAAAUUUCAAAUCGAAUAAUGUGGAGAAGCACAAAGGAAUUGCAAAUGAAAACCAGUAGAUGUAUAAUACAGAAAACAUGCUUGUAUAACUUAUUUUUGUCUUUGAAAGUUUAGAACACAAAGAAACAUAGAUAGCUUGAAAAACCUGAUCUCCUUCCCAGAGUUGUUCAAGAUGGCAGUAUGGCAUUUCGAGGGUCACUAGAUUUUGCGGGCAAAAGUUUGGAGGCAAAGAUCUUUGAGGGAAAUGUUUCCAAUAAAGAAUCUUUAGAGUGUCUGGCAGACCUACAAUAGAUGAUUCAAGAGACACAUUUGACGUGUAUUUUGGCGUGUUGAGCAUAAGCAUCCUAAGAUUGUCCAUCUUUUCGAAACUUUGUGCAUGUACUACAACUUCAUUUACUUUGCUCGUAUCUAGUGAUAUACACUGUAUUGCAUCUAACCCCUGAAAGUAAAUCAAUGUAAUUAGAAAAAAAAAGCAUGAAAUGUUGCUGUAUGGUUAUGGGCAGAUUGAUGAGAUAUGGUAACCUUCGGAUACUGAUCAUGAAGUGACAUAAAGGAGAAGGAAGCGUUACUGAAGGAGAGUAAUGGAAAUUUAUGAGAAAUUAAGCCGUUGGUUACAGAGACUAGGUAGGGACCGAGUCAUCUAUACCAGGGACCGAGUCAUCUAUAAGAGGAGGCAGAGACGAAGAGUAGGGGUAGGAAAAAAAGAUAUGGUUUUUAUAUUAUCUUUGAUGCUCUAGCUAAGGAUCAUCUGUCCUAAAACAGUUGCAUUUCUGGAUGUUUAAUGACAGCUCAAUAGUUUGCAGUUUUUUCACAAAGUAACAACAGAAUAUACCUUGUUUUUUCUUAAAACAUCACAAAUUUCCUCAGCAUUAAACAGUCGGCUGCGUUUUCCAGGAUGCCGACGACACUCUUUACGAACAAUUUCUUGACCCAUUUCUUGUAUUAGAUCGUGCAUCAUAAUAAUACCAUUAAAGACAGAUAUUAGGCACCUAUCUUUGAGAACAUCCAUUACAAUCUUAGUAGAGAAACCAUUGCAGUCAUCAAGUAUUUCUGCCAGCACAAUCUCCUGGUAUCCUCUAUAAAAGCAAGCAAUGUCAAGAAAUAUAUUCUUCUCCACCUCCUCGAGCCCAUCAUAACUUAAUUUUAAUACAUUGAAAAUACCAUGAUGUUGGCCCUUUUUCAACUUUUGCAACUGACUUUCCCAUGCUUCUUUUGUUCUGUCACAAAGCAAUGAGCCCAAAAUCUGGAGAGCUAACGGAAUCCCUUUUGCAUAACUCAACACCUUUCCUGACAGUUCCUUGUAAGCAAUUUCUUCUGAAGAUUUUUGUUUAAAAGCAUGUAAACUAAAAAGUCUUAGAGAAUCAUCAGAAUUCAACUCCUUAACUUCGUAGAUAUCAUCAGCUCUAGCAUUCUUAAGCACUUGUCUGUCUCUACUGGUCAUAAUGAUUCUACUGCCCUGCCUAAAACUAUCACUCCAUCCUAUUAAUUUUUGAAGUUGAGCUGAAUCGGUAACAUCAUCAAGAAUGAGGAGAGCCUUUGUCCGUUUGAGCCUUUCUUUGUAAUAUGGUAAAGAAGAAGAUUUCUCUUCCUUUAGAAGCUCAGACAGAUAUUUUGUUCUGAUACUAUCUAUUCCAUCUCUUUGUAUUUUUUCUUGAACGUCUAAAACAAGGCUGCUGGAAUCAAACUGCAAUGCCAAUUUCUGAUAUAUUUGAUCACAAAUUGUACUUUUUCCUAUUCCUCCCAUGCCCCAAAUUCCUAUGAUCCGAACAUCCGGUGACUCAGGAUGCAACAAGGACUGAAUUCCUUCAAUAUGUUUUUGAAUGCCGAUGAUUCCUUGAUCAUAACUGGUGGAAUAAAGAUUCAAUUUUCCCAAAAUAUCUUCCACAAUUUUUUCAACAAGUUUGUGGUCAUUCCUGGCAGAUGAUUUAGAAAAUAAAGUAUAAGAAUUCAAGCACAAAAGCUAAACUAAACUAAAGAAAAAUUCAGAGUCAAGAGGAGUGAACAUCAUUGAAUAGAUUCACAUAUCGAUUCUAGUUUCGAGUUCUGGAUAAAAUAAAUAAAUUAAAAAGUUGAAGGUAAGUUUAGGACGUUAUCUUCCUAUAUUAGUUUGGUUGGUUUAGUAAUUGCAAAUCAAGAUCGCAGAAAUUCUACAGUAACCGUAUGUGACUUCUGAUAAUAGGGAGCAGAUUUGUAGGUACAAAGUUAAGCUAUAACAUGUGAUAUGGUUCAGAUCCAUGACCGACUAAGAGAAAUGAAAAAAGAAACACUUGAUUUAUGGUGAGAUGAACACAAUUUUAGUAAAUGAAAAGAGAUCCUGAUUAUCUAAUAAAUAUAAUGACCUGGUGACUUUUGAAUCCCAGCCUGCAAGUUCAGCAGCUUCGGUUAGAGCAUCCUUCCAUCCUUGCACUCUGUCCAUGUCGUGCUUAAGCCGCUGUUCAUGCUCAUCAAAUGCUUCUUUGAAUCUUUGUUCCUGCUUCCUAAUAGUUGAUGGAUCCACCUUGUAGAAAACAGGUAUCACAUCCCUUCCAUAUCUCUUCUUGCAUUCAAGUAUCUUAGUGAGUUCAUUCAAGCACCAAGUGGAAGAUGCAUAGUUUUGGGAGAAAACGAUGACAUAAAUCUUUGAUUCUUCUAUUGCAGAGAGUAGUGCAGGUGAAAUUUCUUCGCCCCGGGGUAGUCUCUCGUCAAUAUAUGCUUGAAUGUUCUUCCUUUGCAGUGCUGCAUGAAGGUGACGAAUGAAGUUGUCACGUGUGUCUUCCCCUCUGAAGCUGAGAAACACAUCAUGCUUUGUUAGAGAAGCAGACACGGGGAAUGAUGAAGGACUUCCUGACAUUGGAAUCAAUUUUCUCUCUUUUCUCUUGCAACUCUCAGUGCCUUUGUUUGUACACAAAUCAACUCUUGGAAAAGUCUUUGAAUUUUCUCAAAAGUAUCUUUCACAGAUCACGCACGCGUGGAAACAUAGCUGUGUUAAAAUCCUUAUUUAAGUUUUAAUUGGGCCUUGUAGUGGGCUUUGUAAUGUGCUUUUCUUUUCUCCUACAUUGCUUUAUAUAUACACCUCAGCGUUUGCUUUCUACAUUUCAUUUUACAAAAUACAUUCUCUCAUUUUCUACCUUUUAUAUUGUCUGAUUCCGUUCUCUCUUUAUUUUUUUUCAAAUCUCUUUUGCUUACAAUUUUUUUUUCUUUUUUAAGAAAUGUACUUUUUCAAGUUUAAUUUAAUUUUAUAAAACAGUCAUCUUUCUACAGUAUUAUCAUCUCUUACGUGAGAUUAUUAUAUAUUAUUUGGUGAUCUAAGUAAACUUUUAAUCCAAUAAACUUUAAAAAUAAUUCUAAUACUAUAUUAAAAAAUGAAAUUUAAAUCUAAUUCUAUUUUAUAAAAUAUAUUUAUUCAAUGCUAAAAUAUCUCUAAUUGAGUAGGGAUGUUCAAAAUACUUAUUGGUUCUUGAUUUUCACUUUCACUUUUAAGGUUUUUCUUCGCAGACACGUAGUAAACAGAAAUACAAAAAUAUGAGUCAAUGGAAGAGUCUAACGAUUCGCAGAAUAUUAUGGUGUCUAGCUUUAUACCGCAUUAAUGCGAGGAGUUUCUUUAAUAUUUUUACUCAAUUUAUUUAUUUUUAAUUCUUUUUUUUUUCACACCUUUUACAAAUAAAGAAUCGUAUUUCUUUAAUAUAUUUUAGAAAAUAACCACUAAACCUUAUUAUAAAAUAUAUUUAUGAAAUGCACGUGUAAGAAUAACAGGAAAAAUAUUACUACGAAAAACAAUAUAUUAAUAUUAAUAUGUUUCUUAAUAAAUUUCAUACCCACUGUCUAUUUAUAAAUUAAUAUAAUAUAAAUAUCUUUAAUGAUGUUUUUGUGGGUAGCUUAUUUCUCUAACGCAGAAUAUUAUGGUGUCUACUUUUAUAAAACAUUACAUUUUGAUUUUAAUAUUUAUUAAAUAUUUUUUAUUUGGGAUGAAGUAACGAUGAUGAAUCGAAUGUGUUUUGAAGUCUGACAUAACUUUUAGAGAUGUUAUGAGAACGGUUAAUGACGGAAAUUAUCAAAAACCUUUUGGGGGAAGGUUGUGGUUUUGGGAGGUGAUUUCAGGUAAAUAUUGUUAGUGGUAAAAAAAGGAUUAAGAUAUGAUGUUGUGAAGUCAACAAUCAACUUUUCUCAUUUGUGGUUAAAUUGUCGAGUCUUAAAACUUUCUCAAGGAAAUCCAACACGAUCUAUUGAUUGAGCCCACAAAAACACCUUUGUUAUCAUUGGUGAAUUUUGUUUAUCCUAAUUUAUUGACUGAUAUGUUAUGUCCUGAGUACUUUGAGUAUGGAGCAAUACUUUGUCCGACAACUGAAUCAGUAGAGCAAGUGAAUGAUUUUAUUUUAUCUCUGUUAAGUGGUAAAUAAAUAAAUUAUCUUAGUUCGGAUACACCUUGCCAAUUAGAUUAAGAUCAAGAAUUUAAAGUGAAUGGUUCACUUCUGAGUUCUUAAAUGAGAUAAAAUGUUCAGAGAUACUAAAUCAUCGCCUUCAUUUGAAAAUUGGCGUGCCUAUUAUGCUUUUGAGAAAUAUUGAUCAAACCAACGGUCUUUGUAAUGGAACAAGGUUGCAAGUUAUUGAUUUGAAGAAAAUGUUAUUUGUGCAAUAGUUCUAACAGGAACAAAUAUUGGUGAUAAAAUCUUUAUUUCAAUAAUGAAUUUGAUCCCUUUAGAUGUAGGUAUGCCAUUCAAAUUCUAGAGAAGACAAUUUCCAAUAACUUUAUGUUUUGCAAUGACAAUUAAGAAAAGUCAAAGUCAAUUAUUGACCAAAGUUGGUUUAUAUUUUUCACGUCCAAUUUUCACACAUUGAUAGUUGGAUGUAGCUAUUUAUAGAGUUAGAAAGAAAAAAAUUUAAAAAUUCUAACUCUUGAUGAAGAUGGGAAUGCAACAAACAAGAAAAAGAAAAUGUUUACACUGAAACUUUUGACAAUAUUUAAAAACAAUAGAAUUAUAUGAUAAACUUGGAAUAAUGGCUAAUUCUCCCUGCACCCAAUAUUUUUGAACAUGCAACUUUUAAAUUUGCUCCCUUGUAAUUAUAUUUUCUUAUGUGUGAUGUAGUAACAGUUGCCUUAUUUAAAAUGUUACUAAAUAACAUAUCAUUUAUAUCUGUUAUUUUUAUUCUGUUCUGAUUUUAUAUAUAUGUUAACGAAGUUGAGAAUUUUCUGAUUUUACAGGUCCAUGCACAAACCUAAUAUAAUGAUAUGAUAUUCAAUAUCAAGAGGUACUUGUCGUAAAACGGGGAAUAUGAGAGACUCCAUAGAAUGAAGAAAAAGUAUAAAGAGGAUUUACAAAUUACCCUUUCAAAUGCAGCUCCUCAGAAUUUCUUAAUGCCUUCACUGCAAAUGCAACCCAAAUAAGCUAAAGAAGUUAAUCAAACUAUACAUUAAGAGUUUCAAGAAAAUGAAACUCUGGAACAACAGAGCAACCCAUCUCAUGCUCAAUAGAAACAUCAAACUAUAUCUAACAAUAACUUAGAAAUCUUUGUCAACAAUUGAACGAACCCACUCCUAAAAUGCCAUUGAAAAUGUAAAUAAAUAAAUAAAAAUUAAAAAUGAGAAUUCAUAAUAAAAUUUCAUCGUGUUGAAACUUGUAAUUUAGAAGUAUUACGAUAAGCCAGUUUUGAUCCUCGCGAAUGAAAGACUAAUUAGCAGAAAGACUGUGCAAAAUUCCUUCCACUGGAUUCUUCGAUGUCAACUGAUUUGGUAUAAAGAGGACAUAUGCCGCAUUCUUUUAUUGUGAUAACUGAUUUCAACUCUCUCACAAGUAAUUUGCGAUUUGACCGAUUUGGCCGCAGAAAGGGAUCAUCAUAAUCAUGCGAACUGAUCUCAAAAGUGAAGCUGCGAGCAUCACACAGCCUAAGGCUCAUGCCGCUUGCCCUUAGGGACUCCAAGUUAAAUUUCCACACCAAUGUGUGAUCUUUAUCAACACCUCUCUCUUCAUCAUCCCAUCUGAAAUAGUUGUUUAACACAUCAUUAUUUGGAAUUAUCCGUGUGCCAUGAUCAUCAGAUUCAAAUUUUAGGCUGUAACCAAAGGAACCAUAUCUACCUUUAACAACUUUCGUAUCUAACACUUCAAAAACCACACACAAAGCGAAACCACUGAGCCUAUCAUCGCUUAAAAAACUUAAAUCUUCAUUUAUAGUCACUGAAUGUCCCUUCCCACGAAAAUGGAACCAACCAGGAACUGCACUCCCUGGAAAACAGAAGAACACACACCUAUAUCUAUCGUCGGUCAUCCUAAGCCUUGCAUCCUCCUCAAUGUUAGCACGACCACCUGAAUCCAGUUGUUGAGCAUUGGUCAAAAGAAAUUUGAAGAAACCCUCUUUGGAAUUUGACAAGUUUGGAACAAGAGAAUUGGACAUCACUCUUCUAAUGGAUGGGCAAUCCAAUGCCACUAGUUUUUUUAGAAAUGGUGGAAUCUCUGGGAUGCAUUCAAGCUUUUUGCAGUCGCUUAAAUCAAGCGAUUUCAAGCUUGAAAGAUGAGCAACGCUCUCAGGAAGGUUCACAAUUCCGCUAUCACACAGUGACAGUUCCAUUAAUGACGUCAAGCGACCGAUAUCUCUAGGGAUUUCUGUUAAUCUGGCACACCCCGAACAAUCAAGUUUAGAGAGAAGCUUGAGAUUAACAAUGGAGUUUGGAAGUGACUCCAGAUCAGUGCAUUUGCGGAGCUCCAGGGAUCGAAGAUUAACCAAAUUGGCAAAUGAGGAAGGCAGUUCUUUAACAGCCGUACAUAUCAAGUUAAUGUGAUCAAAAGUAGGAGCCGGCUCUGUGAUCUCUGGGAAGGUCCUCAGACUUGAGCAACCACACAAAUCAAGGUUCCUCAACUUCAAAUUGAAAAUGGUGCUUGGAAAAGUUUGUAGUGAACUACAGUGGGUAAGGUCUAACUUGCAUAGUCUGGUGAGGCUUCCAAUGGAAGAUGGAAUAAUCUCAAGAUUGAAGCAACUGCACAAACUCAGUUGUUGAAGCCCUACCAAACGGCACAAGGAUGAAGGUAGUGCCUGUAUGGCUGUGUCGUCUAAGAUGAGCACCACUAGAUCUUCCAACGUGUCCUGAAUCUGGGGUAAAUUUUCCAAUUUUGAGCAACCACGGAGUGAAAGUUGCUUUAGGAACUUCAUAUCAGAAAGGUCAAAUGGAAAGAUUGUAAGGGAAGAACAGUGAGAGAGAUCUAAGUGACAGAGCCUCUUGAGAUUUUGAAAGUUUGAGGGUACACCUUCGAGUAUUGUCGACACUUCACAUUGUGAGUAUAUAGUAUUAUUACCCACUUCUUCUUCGUUAUAUCUGUCAAAACUAAUUGAGGAAAUUUCACUGGAAGUUGGGAAAAUACCUUUAGCAUUAUGGAAUUUAACAGUCCCUCCCAAAAGUAAACUUGAGAAAGUUGGACGUUGACCCUCCAGUUUCACAUGAAGGUAUCUGGGUUGACUGGUUGAAAACAUUUCAAGCUCCUCACAGUGAGAAAGAAUGAUCAAUCCUGGAGAUGUGGAUAAAAUCUUGUUGGGAAUAUUUACACUUUUGAGAUGAUAACAAUGAUCUAAACAUAAACAACUGAGCUUGCUGAGGAAUAUCGAAGAGUGAACUUUAAUCAACUUUUGACAAUAACUCAGAAUUAGUUCUUCAAUAUUCGGUGACAGAGAAAGGUCUGGUAUUCUAGUAAGUUUCAGAGAAUGACUCAGGUUGAGCCUUUUCAAGUUGGGUAAAUUCUGCCACAAAAAGUAAAUGAAUCAGGUAACAAUGAAAAACUAAAAUAAAGUUUUAUGCAAUUUUAUCUAUUUUUCUUCGGUAAACUAUGAGCUACAUCAUCUAUCGAGUUUAUAUUUUACAUAAAACCACUGUUAAAAAAAUCACACUGUUAACUAACAAAAUUAUGGUCACUAUAAAUUUUAUAGUUAUUAUAAAAAUUCACAAAAUUUAACGUGUUUUUGUUCUCUACCUAAAAUUACAUCCUAAUAAUUUGAACCUAAGCUUAUUAUGUAUUGAAAAACUUACUAUAGUAAUUUAUAAUCCAUGACAAUGUCGAAAUACUUUAUACUAUGCAUGUUAAAAUUUGAUAAAAUGUCGAAAUACUGACAAAAUAAAAAUGGUGUUUUCCGAGAGUUAAAAUUAAACUUUAGUUAAAAUAAGUCCAUCUUUACAUAUUUUAUAAUUUGUUGUAUAUUAUAUUGAAGUUGAUGUUAUAAUAAAAAAAUGACUUAAUUAAUCGAAAAAUGUGGAGAAAACACAAAGAAAUUGCAAAUGCUUGUAUAAUUUAUUUUUAUCUUUGAAAGUUUAAAAGACAAAGGAACAUAGAUAACUUGAAAAACCUGAUCUCCUUCCCAGAGUUGUUCAAGACGGCAGCCUGGCAUUUCGAGGAUCACUAGAUUUUGUGGGCAAAAGUUUGGAGGCCAAAAUCUUUGCGGGAAAUCUCUCCAAUAAAGAAACUUUAGAGUGUCUGGCAGACCUACGAGAGAUGAUUCAAGAGACACAUUUGAUAUGUAUUCAGUUGAGUAGAGUAAAAACGUCCAAAGAUCAUCCAACUCUUUACGAGACACAUCUGAUAUGUAUUUAGUUUUAUUUUGCUCGUAUCUAGUAAUAUACACUGUAUUGCAUCUGACCCCUGAAAGUAAAUCAAUGUAAUUAGAAGAAAAAAACAUGAAAUGUUGCAUUGCAGGAUGUUUGAUGACAGCUCAGUGGUUUGCAAUUUUUCACAAAGUAAAUUAAUGACAGGUCAGUAGUUAUAUACCUUAUUCUUUCUUAAAACCUCACAAAUUUCCUCAGCAUUAAACAAUCGGCUGCGUUUUCCAGGAUGCUGAGGACACUCUUUACGAACAAUUUCUUUACCCAUUUCUUCUAUUAGAUCGUGCAUCACAAUUCUACCAUCAAUGACAGAUAUUAGGCCCCUAUCUUUCAGAAUAUCCAUUCCAAUCUUAGAAGAGAAACCAAAGUCAUCAAGUCUUUCUGCUACCUCAAUCUCCUCGUGACCUCUAUAAAAGCAAGCUAUGUCAAGAAAUAUAUUCUUCUCCUCCUCCUCCAGCCCAUCAUAACUUAAUUUUAAUACAUUGAAAAUACCAAGAUGUUGGCCCUUUUUCAACUUUUGCAACUCACUCUCCCAUGCUUCUCUUGUUCUGCCAUAAAGCAAUGACCCCAAAAUCUGGAGAGCUAACGGAAUCCCUUUUGCAUAUCUCAACACCUUUUCUGACAGGUCCAUGUAAGAUUUUUCUGCUGAAGAUUUUUGUUUAAAAGCAUGUAAACUAAAAAGUUUAUGAGAAUCAUCAAAAUUCAACUCCUUAACCUCGUAGAUAUCAUCAGCUCCAGCAUUUCUAAGCACUUGUCUGUCUCUACUGGUCAUAAUGAUUCUACUGCCCUGCCCAAAACUACCACUCCCUCCUAUUAAUUUUUUAAGUAUAGCUGAAUCGGUAACAUCAUCAAGAAUGAGGAUAGCCUUUGUCCGUUUGAGCCUUUCAUUGUAAUAUGAUAAAUCAGGGGAUUUCUUUAUCUCUUCCUUUAGAAGCACAGACAGAUAUUUUCUUCUGAUACUGUCUAUUCCAUCUCUUUGUAUUUUUUCUUGAACGUCUAAAACAAGGCUGCUGGAAUCAAACUGCACUGCCAAUUUCUGAUAUAUUUGAUUACAAAUUGUAGUUUUUCCUAUUCCUCCCAUGCCACAAAUUCCUAUGAUCCGAACAUCCGUUGACUCAAGAUGCAACAAGGACUGAAUUCCUUCAAUAUUUUUUUCAAUGCCGAUGAUUCCUUGAUCAUAACUGGUGGAAUAACGAUUCAAUUUUCUCAAAAUAUCUUCCACAAUUUCUUCAACAAGUGCGUGUUCUGGCCUGGCAGAUGAUUUAGAAAAUAAAGUAUAAGUAUUCAAGCACAAAAGCUAAAGUAAACUAAAGAAAAAUUUUACAGUAACCGUUUGUGACUUCUGAUACUAGGGAGCAGACUUGUAGGUACAAAGUUAAACUAUAAGAUCAGAUAUGGUUCAGAUCCAUGACCGACUAAGAGAAAUGAAAAAAGAAACACUUGAUUUAUGGUGAGAUGAACACAAUUUUAGUAAAUGAAAAGAGAUCCUGAUUAUCUAACAAAUAUAAUGACCUGGUGACUUUUGAAUCCCAGCCUGCAAGUUUAGCAGCUUCAGUUAGAGCAUCCUUCCAUCCUUGCACUUUAUCGUGCUUAAGGUGCUGCUCAUGCUUUUCGAAUGCUUCAUUGUAUCUUUGUUCCUGCUUCCUAAUAGUUGAUGGAUCCACCUUGUAGAAAACAGGUAUGACAUCCCUUCCAAAUCUCUUCUUGCAUUCAAGUAUCUUAGUGAGUUCAUUCAAGCACCAAGUGGAAGAUGCAUAGUCUUGGGAGAAAACGAUGACAUAAAUCUUUGAUUCUUCUAUUGCAGAGAGGAGAGCAGGUGAAAUUUCUUCGCCCCUGUUUAAUCUGUAAUCAAUAUACGCUUCAAUGUUCUUCCUCUGCAGCGCUGCAUAAAGGUGACUAAUGAAGUUGUCACGUGUGUCUUCCCCUCUGAAGCUGAGAAACACAUCAUGCUUUGUUAGAGAAGUAGACACGGGGAAUGAUGAAGAACUUCCUGACAUUGGAAUCAAUUUUCUCUCCUUUCUCUGCAAAUCUCAGAUUCCUUUGUUUGUACCAUUUCUACCUGAAGAAGUGUUUAAAUUUUCUCAAAAUACCUUGCACAGCGUGUUCUGGUCAGACAUAAAGAAAAAGACAAAUAUUAAGUUAAUAGAAUAGUCAACAAUUUAAAAAAUAAGUAUGAAAUAUAGAUAUAUAUCAUUAUCACGUGUGGAAGCUACGUCGUCUUGUAUUGGAUUUUCUAAUCUGCCUUUUAUCUUGUCUCAUUCUUCUUUAUCUUUUUUCUCUCAUCUCUCUUGCUUACGAUUUCUUUGCCUUUAUUCAGAAAUUUUAUUUAUAAUAAACCUUCAAUAAUAUUUGUACUUUCUAGCAUAUAGAAUACUUAAUGGAUCCUUUUCUGAUUUUUCUUUUCUAAAGUGCAAUUGAUAUUUUAAAUGUUUUUCUAUUUAAUUUUCCUUUCUUAAUGACACAUAAAAUGGUUCAGUGCACAAUUAAUUACUCUCACCUUAGAUUUCAUUCAUCUCAUUCCAUUUCCACACUCAAAUCAUUCUCACAUUUGUUUCUACCUGUUUCACAAAGUUUUAGUUAAAAUAUGGAAAUUAAUGUUCAAGAACCCUACUUAAUAUUAAUAUUCAACAAUUUAAAAUAUUAAAAUGCAAAUUAAUCUUUCUUAAUAAUGUCAUUUUUAUGUAAAAAAUAAAAUGUAGUUUAGUCAUUUAUACUUAGAUGGAUAAAGAUGGUUUUAGAAAAAAAAAUGCAUUUUAUUUCAAAGGUUAUCUAAGCUCUGAACUCAUUUAUGAAUUAAUAAUAAUAAAUAAUAUGUAAUUGUAUUCCAAUACCAUAUAAUUUUUUUUAUUGGGUGCGUUUCUGAUGAAUUAAUUAAUGCACUCUAGGGACAAUGAUCGCUCUAGUAUUUGAUUUUUUUAUUUAUUUUAAUGUUGAAAUUAUAGCUAUUUAGUACAGAUACUAUUGACACCGACACAGAUACGACACAGACACAGAGAUACUUAAAAUCUCUAAAAUGUAAGAUACAGAGACAUUAAUCUAUAUAUUAUAUAAUUAUGAAUUAUAUAAAUUAACAAUAAAGACUUAUGUGCACAAGUAUUUUGGAGAUUAUUUUUUAAGCAGAAAUAUGUUUUUCAUGACUGUUUCACAAAGAUUUGUUUCUUAUUUUUAUAAUCAUAAUAACAAUUUAUACCAUAAAGUUUGAAUUUUAGAAAAUUAAUGUAUUUUUUCUUUUUAAAAUUCCGUUAGAAUCGUACUAAAAUUGUAAAAAAUCUAACAAAUACAUUUUGAAUUGGACAUUUCACAAAUACAUGUCCUACCAGUAUCAUACGAAUGUAAACAAAAUUCUUUCUUCAUAUGCCGCAUUCUUUUACUGUGAUAACUCAUUUCAACUCUCUCACAACUGAUUCGUAAUCUGUGGGAUGCAUUAAAGCCUUUUGCAGUUAAAUCAAUAGUAUAUGAUGAUGUGAAUGUUAUUUAUAUACUAAAUAUAAUCACAUAGUAACUUCAAAUUUGAUAAGGUACAACAUGUUACCAUAUCUCUUUUAAUUUCUUUUAUUUCAUUAUAUAUUUAGGUGUAUUUAAUUUCUUUUUAUUUCAUUGUGUAUUUAGGUGUAUUACGUAAAAUAUAUAAUUAAAAAGAAAGAAGAAUAAUGUUAUUUUUAAAUUUAAAGAAUGACAUAUAGAAAUAAACAAGCUAUUUUGAAAUUUUUAGAUUUUACAAAACAUUACAUUUUGAUUUUAAUAUUUAUAAAAUAUUUUUUAAUUUCAUAUUUAAAACACAACACUUAGUUGAGUGUGUUCCUUAGUUACUUACCAAAUAACAACAUACAUCUUAUCGGGUCUUUUUGCGACCCGACCCAAACUCAUCUCGAUCCUAGUAGGGUUCGCAUCAUCUUCAAUUGAGGAGUAGAUUUGUCAGGAGGAAAAUAAAUUGAUUUAUAAGAACAUGUGAAGUUGUUUAGAUUGAGGAAUAAUAGAUGGAUUUUGAUUAUGAUUUAUGGUAAGUUUAAAAAAAAUAGAUUUGUUUCUUUUAACAUUUUUUGUAUUAUAAUUAUUUGCUGGCUGAAUUGUUUUGAGUUAACAUGUUUUCUUGGGGUAUGAUAUUGUGAGGUUUUAUUACAUGCAGGUACGUGAAUAUUUUUUUUAUUCUAGUUGUAUAAAUCAGGAAAAAAUGUUUUUCACAAUAUAAUUAUAAUAACCGUUUAACAACCUAAAUAAUAAUAAAAUAUUAACUCAUAUUAUUUAAUUAAAUUAUUAAAUAAAAAGUAGUAAAACUGAUUGUAGGAUGGGAAUAUGAUUAUUUUUAACUGCUAGCUCCUCAUUAUUCUUUUAUAAUAAAAAACACACUAGUAGGUGUUGAAAAUCGUAAUAUAACAAACAAGUUUUGACACACGUAGGUUUGGCAAUUGUUUUAAUAGCUGAAAAUAGUAAAACAAUUUUUAAUUACCACAAACUGCAUCUUAAAUCAUAAAAAAUAGCAUUUUUUAGUUCAUAUAUAAUAACAUUUCCAUAAAUAAAUCUCCCGCCGCCAUUGAUAUUAAUCAUUAAUAAUUUUAGAUAAUAUUUUUUACUAUAAAACAUUUAAUUGAGAUUGAAUUUUUAAUUCACACUUUUUGGUCAAAGAAUAAUAUAUUUCAUUUUUUUAUUUAUUAAAUAUUUUGUAUAAUGCUGAGAAAAAAAAAUCUCACACACACACACACAUAUAUAUAUAUAUGAUCCCUAUGUCCUACAAGUACAAUAUAACAUCGUUAGUAUAAUGAAUAAAAAUAAUGAGUAUUCAAAGUCGUGUAUUUACGUAAAAGAAUAACAUGAUUUUUAAAAGAACUCACAUUAUCAGUUUAAAUUUUGACGAUAAAAUACAUUAAUUAUAUAUAUUUAUUCAAAAUUUCAAUUAUAUUAUGCAUUAAUGGUUUUAUGCUUUUAGAGGAAUCAGAGAAACUUAGAAAAGCUUAAUGAAACCCUAUGAAUAAAGGAGAUGUAAAAGAAAGAGAAAAAGGAAGUGAGAAAAGAUGAUAAUUAAUAAACACCCACUCUUCAUAACAUAGAGUCUUUAAACCUAUAUUCCCUCAAACAGCAUUUAUAAGUUAUUAUCACCCACAUGGAAUAAGGUGCCUCAAUGUGAACAAACCAAGAUCAGUAAGAAAUAUGAGGUUCAAAUAACGAAGCUGAGAAUUUUCUGGUUUUACAGCUCCAUGCACAAACCUAAUACAAUGAUAUGAUAUUCCAUAGGAUGGAGAAAAGUAUGAUAUGAAGAGGAUUUACCAAUUACCCUUUCGAAUGCAGCUCCUCAGGAUUCCAUCAUGCCUUCACUGCACAUGCAACCCAAAUAUGCUAAAGAAGUUAAUCAAACCCAAAUAUAAAGAAUUUCUAGAGAAUGCAACUCUGGGACAACAGAGUACCCCAUCUCAAGCUGAACAGAAACAUUAAACUAUAUCUAACAAUAACUUAGAAAUCUUUGUCAACAAUGAACGAAUCCAACCGUAAAAUGCCAUUGAAAAUGUAAAUAAAACAAAAUAAAUUAGAUAUGAGAAAUUCAUGAUAAAAUUUCAACACUUGUAAUGUAGAAGCAUUACGAUAAGCCAGUUUUGAUCCUCACCAAUGAAAGUCUAAUUAGCAGAAGAGGAAGAGACUAGUUGACUGGGUAGCUUUCUGCAAUGCCUAUUUUAAGGUUACGCUUCCGGCAAAAAUAUAAUAGAAGACUGCUCUCAUGUCAAAGUUUCUCAUACAUAGAACAACCCGCAAAAGAGAUUAAACAUUCCAAAAGAUGUCUCAACAGAAAUGAAAUGAGAUCCUAACAACUUGUUGGGAAAGUACUAUUUUGCCUUCAAUUCCAUUACUUCCUUUUGCCUUUAAGAGUGCAGUCAUAAUCAUCAAAAUACUUAGACUUUGUGAUAUGUCUUUUGGGCUUGCUAUUCAUCUUUUGUUGCCUCCUCUUGAGCCAUAACACUUUUGGCCUUCCUCUUCCUAUAUUCCCUUGUGUCUCUUGAAGACUGUGCAACAUUACUUCGACUGGAUUAUUCAAUGUGAACAGCACCACCAUAUUCAUCAUCUUUCUUUUUGGAAUAAAGAGGGCAUAUGCCGCAUUCUUUUACUCUGAUAUCGGGCCACCAAUGGCUGAUCUCAAAAGUGAAGCUGCGAGCAUCACAGAGCCUAAGGCUCAUGCCGCUUGCCCUUAGGGACUCCAAGUUAAAUUUCCACACAAAUGUGUGAUCUUUAUCAAGAAAUCUGCCUGCAUCCGUCAAGUUUAACACAUCAUUAUUUGGAAUGAUCUGUGUGCCAUCAUCAUCAGAUUCAAAUUUUAGGCUGUAACCAAAAGAACUAUAUCUACCUUUAAUAUCAUUCGUAUCUAACACUUCAAAAACCACGCACAAAGAGAAACCAGUGAGCCUAUUAUCGCUGCAAAAACUUAAAUCUUCAUUUAUAGUCACUGAAUGUCCCUUCCCACGAAAAUGGAACCAACCAGGAACUGCACUCCCUGGAUAACAGAAGAACACAGACCUAUAUGCAUCGUCGGUCAUCCUAAGCCUUGCAUCCUUCUCAAUGUUAGCACGACCACCUGAAUCCAGUUGUUGAGCAUUGGUGAAAUGAAAUUUGAAUACACCCUCUUUGGAAUUUGAGAGGUUCCGAACAAGAGAAUUUGACAUCACUUUUCUAAUGGAUGGGCAAUCCAAUGCCACGAGUUGUUUUAGAAAUGGUGGAAUCGGUGGGAUGCAUUCAAGCUUUUUGCAGUCGCUUAAAUCAAGCGAUUUCAAGCUCGAAAGAUGAGCAAUGCUCUCAGGAAGGUUCACGAUUCCGCUAUCACGCAGUGACAGUUCCAUUAAUGACGUCAAACGACCAAUGUGCCUUGGGAUUUCUGUUAAUUUGGCACACCCCGAACAAUCAAGUUUAGAGAGAAGCUUCAGAUUAACAAUGCAGUUUGGAAGUGACUCGAGAUCAGUGCAUUUGCGGAGCUCCAGGGAACGAAGAUUAACGAAAUUGGCAAAUGAGGAAGGCAGUUCUUUAACAGUCGUAGAUGUUAAGUUAAUGUGAGCAAAAGUAUGAGCCGACUCCGUGAUCUCUGGGAAGGUCCUCAGCCUUGAGCAACCACGCAAAUCAAGGUUCCUCAACUUCAAAUUGAAAAUGGUGCUUGGAAAAGUUUGAAGUGAAUUACAGUGGGCAAGGUCUAACUUGCAUAGUCUGGUGAGGCUUCCAAUGGAAGAUGGAAUAAUCUCAAGAUUGAAGCAACUGUGCAAACUCAGUUGUUGAAGCCCUACCAAACGGCACAAGGAUGAAGGUAGUGCCUGUAUGGCUGUGUCGUCUAAGAUGAGCACCGCUAGAUCUUCCAACGUGUCCUGAAUCUCGGGUAAAUUUUCCAGUUUUGAGCAACCACUGAGACAAAGUUGCUUUAGGAAUUUCAUAUCAGAAAGGUCAAACGGAAAGAUUGUAAGGGAAGAACAGUCAGAGAGAUCUAAGUAACAGAGGUUCUUGAGACUUUGAAAGUUUAAGGGCACACCUUCCAAGAGACUGUUGAACACCUCUGAGUCUUCUGAGUCUGUAGCAUUAUUAGCCACUUCUAUAUUAUAUCUGUCAAAAGUAAUUGACAAAAUUUCACUGCUUGGGGAAAUUUCACUGGAAGUUGGGAAAUUUAUCUCUUUCGUCAUAUCCAGUUCCUGACGCUCCAGUAUGACAUGAGGGAGAAAUUUAUCUUCAUGUUUACUGAUUGAAAACAUAUUAAGCUUCCGACAAUGGGAAAGAGUAAUCCAUCCUGGUGAUGUGGAUAAAAUGUUGCUCGGAAUAUUUACACUAUUCAGAUCAUCACAAUGAUCUAAACAUAAACAACUGAGUUUGCUGAGGAAUAUCGAAGAGUGAAUUUCAAUCAACUUUUUACAAUAACUCAGAAUUAUUUUUUCAAUAUUUGGUGACAUAGAAAGGUCUGGUAUUCUAGCAAGUUUCCAAGAACGUGUCAGGUCGAGCCUUUUCAAGUUGGGUAAAUUCUGCCACAAAAAGUAAAUGAAUCAGGUAACAAAUAAUAACUACUUUAUCUAUUUUUCUUCCUAUUUAAACUAUUAGCUACUACUAUUGAGUUUAUAUUUUACAUUACUUAAAAACCACUGUUAAAAAAGCCACACUGUGGACUAACAAAAUUAUAUUUUAAAAUAUUAUUAAAGAUAAAAUAUGAAGAUAGGGUAAUUAAAUUAAAUAUAAUUUUUAUUUUUCAGAAAUGAUGAAAAUUAUAAUUAAAUUAACUAAAUUAUAUAAAAUUCCAUUUUAUUUACAUAACUCCUUUUCAUAUUAAAAAACUAUAUAAGAUCUUGAAACUAUAAUUAAUAUCUUAAAAAUUUAAAUAAUAAUAAUUAUUUCUACUCAUCCUUAAUUUUUGUUGGUGAAAUCUUGAUUUUUGGGAUAAUAUCACUUAAACUUAAGAAAUAUUUGACAUUAAUGAACUCUAAACAAAUUUAUAUAAGAAAUCAAGACAUCACUUUCAAUCCGAAAUCUUAAACUAAUAGGUUUAUGGAUUUUCUUUAUAUGUUGUUCAUCUUACCAAUUUGAACCCAAUGCGAGACUUUCAACUCUAAGAGAUGAAGUGGUGUACUUUAUGCUUCUAGGACUUGUUAGAUAUUGAAACAUGUACCAUUGCUAAAAUGUUUGAAUGAAGGAGAAGUCAAAGUCUCUCUCCUUUAGAGAUAUUCGCUCAAGUGGCAAGAGGUUGAUUAAGCAAGAGAGAGAUCGUAUUAAUUCUCUCUUCUAUGCAAUUGUUGUCGUUCAAACAAUGUGGAAUCAUUCAAGCAAAGAAAUCUUCUUUUGGGUUAGGAAACAAGGUUUUUCAAGCGAGAUAAACUCGUCUAAAGAAUUUAACUCUAGUAGUGAAAUGUUGUUGCCAUGAUUUAGCCAAGUGUUUGUAUCUAUGAGGCUAAUGAUGAUGAUGACGAUGAUAAGAUGCAUGAAUGUGUAUACACAAGUGUAUGAUAUACCUCAUGUUAUAUAUUGUAUGUGAUUCAAUUGAUGACCAUUUAUUUUUAGGCCAUUUAUAUGUAUAUUUUGGCCCUUUUAUGAGUAUGUGACGAGAUAUACCUAAGAUUGUAUUAUGAUCCUAAUGAGUCGAAGUAUCAAACACAAAACUCAUUAUGGAAAAAAAAAGAUAUUUUGUGCAUCAGUUAUGAUAUGAUCACAACAAUUAAAGCAUGUGUGAACGGUUAAUAUUGUUCUUAAUAAGAAAACAAAUAAUAUUGUAUGUGACAUUAGAGAUGUCAAAUAGGUUUAGAAAAUUAUUAAGUUUAAUUAUCUUUUUAGUCUUUAUAUUAAUGACCAAAAGUCAAUUCAGAUUUUUAGAAAGUUCAAUAUGAUUUAAUUUUUUAAAAAACAAUUCAAUGUGAUUCCUUCUAGUAUAUUUCCCUUAUUAAAAUAUUUUUAUCUUAAUGAUUCUGCCACUGUUAAGUUAUAUGUGUUGUUAUCACAUUGAAUUGUUUUAAAAAAAUUUGGAACCACCACAUUAAAUUGUUUUAAAAAGUUAGUACUAAAUUGAACUUUUGAAAAUUGGGAGAAUGAAAUUAAAUUUUGUCUAUUAAUACAGGGACAAAAAAUAAUUGAAUCAAAUAUUUUACUAUUUUUGUGAUGUAUAUUUAUAUAUAAAUAAUUUUGAGAAUUUAGAGUUACAAUGUGUUAUAUCAUAUAUAUAUAAUUCUUUUUGGUAAUGUAUCCUGUAGUUGUAAGCAAGUAUGAUUAUAUUAAGUGGGGCGUUUCAAAUAGUGGAGACUACGCAUAUACAAAUAUCUCUUAUAAAGUAAGAAAACAAAACAAUCGUUACUCAAGAAGAUCAUGCAAUGCAUCACAGACAACAUGGGAGAUAUAUAUCAACAAUAAUAUGAGUAAAUAAUACAUUCAUGGGCCAUUAGACGAUAUGCCUAAAAAAAAUAUGCAAACUAUUAAAUUUAUAAUUAUUUUUAAUUAGAAACAUGCUGAGUAUGACUCUUAUGAUAUAUGUAUAACUGUGUGCUUCAAAUAAAAGAAAUUUCAAAUCGAAUAAUGUGGAGAAGGCACAAAGGAAUUGCAAAUGAAAACCUGUAGAUGUAUAAUACACAAAACAUGCUUGUCUAAUUUAUUUUUAUCUUUGAAAGUUUAGAACACAAAGGAACAUAGAUAACUUGAAAAACCUGAUCUCCUUCCCAGAGUUGUUCAAGAUCGCAGUAUGGCAUUUCGAGGAUCACUAGAUUUUGUGGGCAAAAGUUUGGAGGCCAGAAUCUUUGAAGGAAACCGUUCCAAUAAAGAAACUUUAGAGUGUCCGGCAGACCUACAAGAGAUGAUUCAAGAGACACUUUUGAAUUCAAUCUAGGCAUGUAGACCAUAAGCAUCAUAAGAUUGUCCAUCUUUUCGAAACUUUGUGCAUGUACUACAGCAUCUUUUACUUUGUUCGUAUGAUAUUGAUAUACACUGUAUUGCAUCUGACCCCUGAAAGUAAAUCAAUGUAAUUAGAAAAAAAAACAUGAAAUGUUGCAUUUCAGGAUGCUUAAUGACAGCUCAGUAGUUUUCUAUUUUUCACAAAGUAACAACAGCAUAUACCUUGUUCUUUCUUAAAACCUCACAAAUUUCCUCAUCAUUAAACAAUCGGCUGCGUUUUCCAGGAUGCUGAGGACACUCUUUACGAACAAUUUCUUUACCCAUUUCUUGUAUUAGAUCGUGCAUCACAAUUCUACCAUCAAAGACAGAGAUUAGACCCCUAUCUUUGAGAAUAUCCAUUCCAAUCUUAGAAGAGAAACCACAGUCAUCAAGUGUUUCUGCUACCACAGUCUCCUCUUGCCCUCUAUAAAAGCAAGCUAUGUCAAGAAAUAUAUUCUUCUCCUCCUCCUUGAGCCCAUAAUAACUUAAUUUUAAUACGUCGAAAGUUCCAAGAUCUUGGCCGUUUUCCAACUUUUGCAACUGACUCUCCCAUGCUUCUCUUGUUCUGCCAUAAAGCAAUGACCCCAAAAUCUGGAGAGCUAACGGAAUUCCUUUUGCAUAUCUCAACACCUUUACUGACAGGUCCAUGUAAGCAAUUCCUUCUGAAGAUUUUUGUUUAAAAGCAUGUAAACUAAAAAGUUUCAGAGAAUCAUAAAAAUUCAACUCCUUAACUUCGUAGAUAUCAUCAGCUCCAGCAUUCUUAAGCACUUGUCUGUCUCUACUGGUCAUAAUGAUUCUACUGCCCUGCCCAAAACUAUCACUCCCACCUAUUAAUUUUUGAAGUUGAGUUGAAUCGGUAACAUCAUCAAGAAUGAGGAGAACCUUUGUCCGUUUGAGCCUUUCAUUGUAAUAUGGUAAAUAAGAGGAUUUCUCUUCCUUUAGAAGCUCAGACUGAUAUUUUGUUCUGAUACCGUCUAUUCCAUCUCUUUGUAUUUUUUCUUGAACGUCUAAAACAAGGCUGCUGGAAUCAAACUGCAAUGCCAAUUUCUGAUAUAUUUGAUCACAAAUUGUAGUUUUUCCUAUUCCUCCCAUGCCACAAAUUCCUAUGAUCCGAACAUCCGUUGACUCAAGAUGCAACAAGGACUGAAUUCCUUCAAUAUUUUUUUCAAUGCCGAUGAUUCCUUGAUCAUAACUGGCGGAAUAACGAUUCAAUUUUCUCAAAAUAUCUUCCACAAUUUCUUCAACAAGUGCGUGUUCUGGCCUGGCAGAUGAUUUAGAAAAUAAAGUAUAAGUAUUCAAGCACAAAAGCUAAAGUAAACUAAAGAAAAAUUUUACAGUAACCGUUUGUGACUUCUGAUACUAGGGAGCAUACUUGUAGGUACAAAGUUAAGCUAUUGUGUGAUAUGGUUCAGAUCUAUGACCGACUAAUAGAAAUGAAAAAAGAAGCACUUGAUUUAUGGUGAGAUGAACACAAUUUUAGUAAAUGAAAAGAGAUCCUGAUUAUCUAAUAAAUAUAAUGACCUGGUGACUUUUGAAUCCCAGCCUGCAAGUCCAGCAGCUUCGGUGAGAGCAUCCUUCCAUCCUUGCACUGUGUCGUGCUUAAAGUGCUGCUCAUGCUCAUUGAAUGCUUCUUUGUAUCUUUCUUCCUGCUUCCUAAUAGUUGAUGGAUCCACCUUGUAGAAAACAGGUAUCACAUCCCUUCCAUAUCUCUUCUUGCAAUCAAGUAUCUUAGUGAGUUCAUCCAAGCACCAUGUGGAAGAUGCAUAGUUUUUGGAGAAAACGAUGACAUAAAUCUUUGAUUCUUCUAUUGCAGAGAGGAGUACAGGUGAAAUUUCUUGGCCCCUGAGUAAUCUGUAAUCAAUAUAUGCUUGAAUGUUCUUCCUUUGCAGCGCUGCAUAAAGGUGACUAAUGAAGUUGUCACGUGUGUCUUCCCCUCUGAAGCUGAGAAACACAUCAUGCUUUGUUAAAGAAGCAGACAUGGCCAAUGAUGAAGGGUUUCAAUGUUCUCUGCAACUCUCAGAUCCCUUUGUUUGUAAGCAACUUCCAUAUAUUCUAUUAGGAAGGAAAAUAUAUAUUUCUACCAUUCCUACCACAAAUUGAAAAAGCCUUUCAAUUUUCUCAAAAUAUCUUUCACAGCUGUGUUCUGUCAGAUACGAAACAUUGAGUCAAUGGAAGAGUCAACAAUUGGCAGAAUAUUAUGGUGUGUAGCUUUAUACCAUUCUUACAAUAUUUGAUUGGUUGAAUAUAUACAAUAUGACUAAUGAACUUUUUUCUUUUCCGUAUUCCACGAUAAUUCCCUAGGCACCCUAUUAUACACUUUCUUAUCAACGGAAACCAUGUCUGUCCUUUUAUAGUUUUAAUCCUAUAAUAUCUUUCCAUUAAUCAUCAUUAUCACUCUUCAACCUUCAUAUCAAGUGUAUUGAUUUCAUACUUCAUCAGCUAGACAUAAUAAAAUCUCAAUAAUCUUUUAUACUGUCAACAUUUAUAAAAAAUAUUUCCUUCAAUAAUAUUUGUACUUUCUAGCAUAUAGAAUACUUAAUGGAUUCUUCUGUGAUUUUUCUUUCCUAAAGUACAAUUGAUAUUUUAACAGAUGCCGAAAGGUCUUGAAUAUGAGGCUGUUUCGAAAUGAAAAUUGGGGUAAAGCAUUUUCAAGUUAACAAGUUUUGUUGGGUGAGUGAGUGAUCAGUGCUAGCAUUUUCAAUCUCAGUUAUAGAAUGUAAAGAUUUACACAUUUAUUUGCUGAUUAAUAAUUUAUUUAUUGAAUUAAAUGUUUUAACAGUGAGUAUGGAUUCUUGAAUGAAUGUAAUCAUGGUGUAGAAUGUACAUAGUACAUAUAGUGAGUUGGAUUGAAAUGUUGAACACGUUUUCCUCUGCAAAGAUUCAGGAUAUUUAUGAACUUGCUAUAAAUUGUUUUAACUUUUCUCUGCAACUCUCAGUCCCUUUGUUUCUACCAUUUUGUUUUUGAAAAGCCUUUCAAUUUUCUCAAAAUAUCUUUCACUGCUGUGUUCUGUCAGAUACGAAACAUUGAGUCAAUGGAAGAGUCAACAAUUCGUAGAAUAUUAUAUUAUGGUGUCAAUAUUUAAUAAAUUUAUUUAUUUCUUUAACAUAUUUUAGAAAAUAACCAGUAAACAUAAAACUUUUAGUAUGACUAAAAGAAUAAAGAUAGUGUAAGAAUAACAGGAAUAACAUUACUACAAAUAACAAUAUAUUAAUAUUAAUAUGUUUCUUAAUAAAUUUUACACCCACUGUCUAUUUAUAAAUUAAUAUAUUAUAAACAUCUAUUGAUUUUUUGUGGGUAGCUUAUUUCUGUAACAUUUUAAAUUAAUUUUUUAGAUUUUACAAAACAUUACAUUUUGAUUAUAAUAUUUAGGACUGUGAUGCAAUUUCUGCAAUGAAGGCUGGCAGACUAAGUUUCUCCAAGCCCAAUUAAUACUGGGUUGAAAAUUCUGAGAAGAGGGUGAGUAUGAUGCUGCGGUCAUGAUCUAUGUAUUAAAGUGUUAAGGCAUGGGUUUGGUUGACAGGACAAUACUGGUUUUUCAUUGCUACUACUUAAUAUGAUUCUUUCUUACUGCUAUAUGAAUUUGCUGUCAAAUAGCAGUAAAUAAAAGACUUCAAAUAAAGCAUGUGUUUAUCAUACAUGGACUAAUGCAGCAGUUUUAGUAGAAGGGGCUAAUAUGAUUUUAAUCUAGAACAAGAUGGCUAAACCCAAAGAUGGUGGGAAUAAUAUCCUCAAAUCAAUUGUUUUGGUUUUCAGUGUAAUGUCAUUUGUAAGUAUCAAAAUUUGUUUGUUAUCACAUUGGAAGGUAGUAUCUGUCAUGAAAUUUGUGGAAGACCUUUACCUAUGUUUGCUUUGGGUCUGUUUUACGCCCUCUCGAAUUAAGUAAAUUUUUAAUUGCCAUCAUGAAAUUAGGCUAAAUAUGUGUAGUUUUGAGCACUUUCUUUCUUCCAUUUCAAUUCAUAGUUUCAUACAUAUUCAAUAUCAUGUGGGAAUUAAGUUCUUGCUUUUAAGGUGAAUAACAGUUUGUAUUCUUGCAGAAAACUAUUUUCUAAUGCAUAUAAAUUUCAUUUUCUAUUUUCAGCAUUGGAUUAUGUUAUGUAAUUUUUCCUUUGUAUUAUACAGAGUAGGAUUUUAAUGUUUCUACUGAACAGUGCUAUCUUUUUUCGUCCAUAUUCUGAUUUUGUUCAAUUUUUUUCAGUAUGUGCCACAUGCAGAUCAGAUGUAAGGAAUUUUCUAAAUUUUUUUUCAAGCUUUCUUGUUUGCUUAAAGUUUUCUGUAAGUAUUUAACUGUCUUAAGUUGUUAAUGAGGACUAAGGACUGAAAAAGAGAAUUAGCCAUGACAUGGUGGCAUUAUCCUUCUUCAAAACCAUUAGUUUUUUUUCCUACAAAGAUACAUGUCAAGAAAGCAAACCAGGAACAAAAGUGAUGUUUAUGAUUGCUUUCUCUCUUGUUUACUUGCUUUCUUUUUGUUGGACAAUUGUCUUAAUUGCAUUCACACCUAACCUGCAGUAGUUUCAGUCCCUUUGGGGUUGUCAUAAUUGCAGCCUCAAGAGUGGUGGUGUAGUCCAACAUCAACCAGUGAUAUAGUUCAAAUAUAGCAUAUACAUGAAAGUCGUGUUGAUAAUCAAAGGUUGCUUCAUCUUAACUAAUAACAUGUAAAUGUCAUUUGAAUGGUUAAAAAGGAAUUCACCAGUGUAACACAAAAUGAAUGGAUUGCUUGGUUAUGUGUCAACUGUUGUACUUUUUUUGAGUUGCUUGAAAAUAAUUAAAAUUUGUUUUCAUCUAGAUCUUGGUUUUUUCCUAUGAUCAAAUCUCGAUUUAUUUCUGUGCAGAACUUUCUUGUGGACAUAAAAGGACCAGCUAUAGCAUUUUUACCGGUGCUUGCAUUUGAAGGAGGAACUAGAAGAAAUAUACCUAGGUUUGAGGUGUGUAUAAAUUAUUUUUGAUGUAUUUCGUGAUGUAGAUGUAAAAUAAUGCAAUACUUUGUUUUUAGUUUCAAUGUUACUCUUUAUCUGCAGGUUGGAAACAUAUCUUGAUGAAAUAUAGAAACAUUUUUAUUCAUAAUAUAUAUAUAAGGAUUACACAUUCAUAAUUAUUUCUUUCUGUCGUAGCAUUGUCUACCUCAAAUCACUGCAACUUUCUGUUGUUGGUAUAAAAAUACAAUAUUUUAAUCCCAGUUUUGAUAGCCUCUAUUCUUCAGUGGUUGAGAUAUUUUUUAUAAGAAUUUAGAAGUUCUGAGAUAUUUAUGAUAAGAAUUUCAAGUUCUUUGUUACUAGCAGUUUAAUGGUUAUAUCAUUUUUGUUCUCUGGAAAAUAUCUUAUACAAAAUCGGUACUUAGAUUUGGUAUUUAUAUUGUUCAUAUGUAGAAAUCUAAUACUAGCAAAUUUUGUCUAAUUUAAAAGCAAUUACAUUCUACUCUUUGGAAUAUGUUCUGGCCUGCUUUUAUGAAUUAUUUGAAAAUUUGUAAUUAUAAAAUUUAGUCUUUGAAAUUAUAAAUUUAAUAGAGAAGCAUCCAUACUAAACUUUUAUAUUAUAAAUUGUCAGUUUUAUAUUGAAAACAUAUCCCCUUUAGUAUAAGACUUAAAGGAGAUGUCUUUUGGUAUAAAAACUGAAAUAAAAAAUAUUUUAACUAUAUGGGUCAAAUGGAUGAUUAAACUUAUAAAAUGUACAAUUAAACUUAUAAAUUAUAAUAAACGAUACUUUAAUUUUAAACUAUAUUGAACUUUUAUUAAUGUUCUCGCUUUUCUUUAAAAGCUAUUGAACUCUAUCUAACAAUAACUUAAAAAUGAGAAAUUCAUGAUAAAAUUUCAACACUUGUAAUCUAGAAGUAUUACGAUAAGCCAGAAGAGGAAGAGACUAGUUGACUGGGUAGCUUUCGGCGUUCCUCUUCCUAUCUUCCCCUGUUUCUCCUGAAGAGUGUGCAACAUUGCUUCCACUGAAUUCUUCAAUGUCAUUUUCUGAUGCAGAAUAGUCAACAGCACCACCAUAUUUAUCAUCUUUCUUUUUCGUAUAAAGAGGGCAUAUGCCGCAUUCUUUUAUUCUGAUACCUGAUUUCAACUCUCUCUCAACUGAUUCGUAAUCUGGCCGAUUUGGCCGCAGAAAGGGAUCAUACGGACUGAUCUCAAAAGUGAAGCUGCGAGCAUCACACAGCCUAAGGCUCAUGCCGCUCGCCAUUAGGGACUCCAAGUUAAAUUUCCACACGAAUGUCCCUUCACCAUCCCAUUUGAAAUAGCUAUUUAACACACCCUUAUAUGGAAUGAUCUGUGUGCCAUCAUCAUAUUCAAAUUUUAGGCUGUAACGAAAAGAACCAUAUCCACCUUUAAUAUCUAACACUCCAAAAGCUACACACAAAGCGAAACCAGUGAGCCUAUCAUCGCUGCAGAAACUUAAAUCUUCAUUUAUAGUCACUGAAUGUCCCUUCCCACGAAAAUUGAACCAACCAGGAACUGCACUCCCUGGAAAACAGAACAACACACACCUAUAUGUAUCGUCGAUCAUCCUAAGCCUUGCAUCCUCCUCGAUGUUAGCACGAGCACCUGAAUCCAGUUGUUGAGCAUUGGUGAAAUGAUAUUUGAAGACACCCUCUUUGGAAUUUGACAAGUUUGGAACAAGAGAAUUUGACAUCACUCUUCUAAUGGAUGGGCAAUCCAAUGCCUCGAGUUGUUCUAGAAAUGGUGGAAUCGGUGGAAUGCAUUCAAGCUUUUUGCAGUCGCUUAAAUCAAGUGAUUUCAGGCUUGAAAGAUGAGCAAUGCUCUCAGGAAGGUUCACGAUUCCGCUAUCACGCAGUGACAGUUCCAUUAAUGACGUCAAGCGACCGAUGUGUCUUGGGAUUUCUGUUAAUUUGGCACACCCCGAACAAUCAAGUUUAGAGAGAAGCUUCAUAUUAACAAUGGAGUUUGGAAGUGACUCGAGAUAAGUGCACUCUUGGAGUUCCAGGGAUCGAAGAUUAACCAAAUUGCCAAAUGAGGAAGGCAGUUCUUUAACAGCCGUACAUGUCAAGUCAAUAUGAGCAAAAGUAUGAGCCGGCUUCAUGAUCUCUGGGAAGGUCCUCAGCCUUGAGCAACCACCCAAAUCAAGCUUCCUCAAUUUCAAAUUGAAAAUGGUGCUUGGAAAAGUUUGAAGUGAAUUACAGUAGGUAAGGUGUAACUUGCAUAGUCUGGUGAGGCUUCCAAUGGAAGAUGGAAUAAUCUCAAGAUUCAAGCAACUGUGCGAACUCAGUUGUUGAAGCCCUACCAAACGGCACAAGGAUGAAAACUUAUUUUAUUUUUGCUGUUCAUGCAUAACAUUAACAAAUAUUGACAUGAGAGAUUGUGUUUGUAGGCUUCUAAGCUCACCAACGUGUCCCGUUCUUGAUGCUUUAGGGAAGAAAAUUUCCUUUGAGAUUGCAAAAGGACUCAGGAGAAUUUAGAAGUUCUGAGAUAUUUAUGAUAAGAAUUCAAGUUCUUUGUUACUAGCAGUUUAAUGGUUAUAUCAUUUUUGUUCUCUGGAAAAUAUCUGAUACAAAAUUGGUACUUAGAUUUGGUAUUUAUAUUGUUCAUAUGUAGAAAUCUAAUACUAUAGCAAAUUUUAUCUAAUUUAGAAGCAAUUAUAUUCUACUCUUUGGAAUAUGUUCUGGCCUGCUUUUAUGAUUGUAAUUAUAAAUUUAAUAGAGGAGAUUACCAAACAUCCAUACUAAUUAAACUUUUAUAUUAUAAAUUUUUUCAGUUUUAUAUUGAAAACAUAUCCCUUUAGUAUAAGACUUAAAGGAGAUGUCUUUUGGUAUAAAAACUGAAAUAAAAAAUCUUUUAACUAUAUGGGUCAAAUGGAUGAUUAAACUUAUAAAUGUACAAUUAAACUUAUAAAUUGUAAUAAACGAUACUUUAAUUUUAAACUCUAUUGAACUUUUUUUAAUGUUCUCGCUUUUCUUUUAAAUGCAUUUCACUUGUGUGUUUUGUAUUCAGGCUGAUUUUAACUUUAUUCUCAAAUAUACAAAAUAAUUUUUGGUAAUUAUCUUGUGUCGAUCUUGACUUGUAGUAUCAAUGUGAAAUAUGUAAUAAUUACUUUUCUAUGAUUCAGAGGGAAAAUUAUUCCAACUAGACUUUUACAAAUAUAUUUCAAGUGGUAAUAUGAUUUUAAAAAAAAUAGGAUUCGCCACAAAAAAAAGUUACUGUUCCUAAUUGACAUGGUGCUGUCAAAAUUAUUUAAUUACAAUUUAGAUCUUCACUCUACAUAUAAUUAAUUAAUUACCAAUUAUUUAAAAGACUAGUAAAUUAUAAUUUUAAUCUCUCUACAACUUUCUAAAUUUAGUUAUGAUUCUCUCAAAAAAAUUUCCCUUAAAUAUUAAUUAUAAUUACCUUUAGACAGAAACAUUUCUAAUUUAAACAAGCAAAAAUAAGAAAAAAAAAUAGAUUACAAAAACUAAAUUUGAAUUUUUUUAUAUAACUCCAAAUAUAUUUUAUCCAUAAAUAAAUUCUAUUAAUAUUUCAUUUCUGUUUAAAUAGUUUAUUCAUAUUUGUAAUAUUAUUUUCAAAAAACAAUAAUUGUUUUUUGAAUAAAGGUUUACAAAUUCUAUAAUAAUGUAAAUGAGAAGAGGAGUGAGGGUAAAAAUAUGAGAACCUAUGUGAGGGAAUCUUGUGACAAUUUAGCUGGUGUUCAACUUGUGAGAAGUCUUUCAACUUGGUUUUCAAGUUUUAUAUUCAAUUUCUGUUCCUUCAAAUGUUUCUGAUUUUACAGCUCCUCAGGAUUUUACAGCUCCAUGCACAAACCUAAUACAAUGAUAUGAUAUUCAAUCAGCAUUAAUUAGCAUAAACAGGUACCUUGUUGUAAAACUGGGAAUAUGAGAUUCCAUAGGAUGGAGAAAAGUAUGAAGAGGAAUUACCAAUCACCAUUUACCAAUCAUAAUGCCUUCACUACAAAUGCAACCCAAAUAUGCUAAAGAAGUUAAUGAAACUAUAUAUGAAGAGUUUCAAGAAGAUGCAACUCUGGGACAACAGAGCAACCCAUCUCAUGCUGAACACAAACAUCAAACUACAUCUAACAAUAAUUCAGAAAUCUUAAUCAACAAUUGAGCGAACCCACUCCUAAAAUGCCAUUGAGAAUGUAAAUAAAUCAAAAUACAUUAAAAACGAGAAAUUCUUAAUAAAAAUUCAACGUGUUGAACCUUGUAAUUUAGAAGUAUUAACGAGAAGCCAGUUUAGAUCCUCACCAAUGAAAGACUAUUUUACAGGUUAGCUUCCACUGGAUUCUUCAAUGUGAACAGCACCACCAUAUUUAUCAUCUUUCUUUUUGGAAUAAAGAGGGCAUAUGCCGCAUUCUUUUAUUGUCACAACUGACCACCCAAAGUCAUAAAGAGGACUGAUCUCAAAAGUGAAGCUGCGAGCAUCACACAGCCUAGGGCUUAGGGAUUCUAAGUUAAAUUUCCAGACGAAUGUGUGAUCUUUAUCAACAAAACUGUAUUCACCAUUCCAUUUGAAAUGUCUGUUUAACCUAUCAUUAUUUGGAAUGAUAUGUGUGCCAUCAUCAUCAGAUUCAAAUUUUAGGCUGUAACCAAAAGAACCAUAUCUACCUUUAACAGAAUUCGUAUCUAACACUCCAAAAACCACACACAAAGCGAAACCAGUGAGCCUAUCAUCGCUGCAGAAACUUAAAUCUUCAUUUAUAGUCACUGAAUGUCCCUUCCCACGAAAAUGGAACCAACCAGGAACUGUACUCCCUGGAAAACAGAAGAACACAGACCUAUAUCUAUCAUCGGUCAUCCUAAGCCUUGCAUCCUCCUCAAUGUUAGCACGACCACCUGAAUCCAGUUGUUGAGCAUUGGUGAAACGAAAUUUGAAGACACCCUCUUUGGAAUUUGACAAGUUUUGAACAAGAGAAUUUGGCAUCACUCUUCUAAUGGAUGGGCAAUCCAAUGCCACGAGUUGUUUUAGAAAUGGUGGAAUCUGUGGGAUGCAUUCAAGCUUUUUGCAGUCGCUUAAAUCAAGCGAUUUCAAGCUUGAAAGAUGAGCAAUGCUCUCAGGAAGGUUCACGAUUCCGCUAUCACGCAGUGACAGUUUCACUAAUGACGUCAAGCGACCGAUGUGUCUUGGGAUUUUUGUUAAUUUGGCACACCCCGAACAAUCAAGUUUAGAGAGUAGCUUCAGACUAACAAUGGAGUUUGGAAGUGACUCGAGAUCAGUGCAUUUGCGGAGCUCCAGGGAUCGAAGAUUAACGAAAUUGGCAAAUGAGGAAGGCAGUACUUUAACAGCCGUAUAUGAUAAGUCAAUGCGAGCAAAAGUAGGAGCCCGCUCCGUGAUAUCUGGGAAGGUACUCAGGCUUGAGCAACCACACAAAUCAAGCUUGCUCAAUUUCAAAUUGAAAAUGCUGCUUGGAAAAGUCUGAAGUGAAUUACAGCGGGUGAGGUGUAACUUGCAUAGUCUGGUGAGGCUUCCAAUGGAAGAUGGAAUAAUCUGAAGAUUGAAGCAACUGCGCAAACUCAGUUCUUCAAGCCCUAUCAAACGGCACAAGGAUGAAGGUAGUGCCUGUAUGGCUGUGGCGUCUAAGAUGAGCACCGCUAGAUCUUCCAACGUGUCCUGAAUCUCGGGUAAAUUUUCCAAUUUUGAGCAACCACGGAGAGAAAGUUGAUUUAUGAAUUUCAUAUCAGAAAGGUCAAUUGGAAAGAUUGUAAGAGAAGAACAGUGAGAGAGAUCUAUGUGAGAGAGCUUCUUGCCACUAAAUUGUAAGGGCACACCUUCGUAGUCUUCUGAGUAUUCUGAGUCUGUAGCAUUAUUAGCAUUUAUCUCUUUCAUCAUAUCCGGUUCCUGACGCUCCAGUAUGACAUGAGGGAGAAAUUUAUCUUCAUGUUCACCCAAUGAAAACAUAUUAAGCUUCUCACAACCGGAAACACUAAUCCAUCCUGGUGAUGUGGAUAAAAUGUUGCUGGGAAUAUUUACACUUUUGAGAUUAGAACAAUGAUCUAAACAUAAACAACUGAGCUUGGUGAGGAAUAUCGAAGAGUGAACUUCAAUCAACUUUGAACAAUAACUCAGCUUUAUUUCUUCAAUAUUCGGUGACAGAGAAAGGUCUGGUAUUCUAGUAAGUUCCCAAGAUUUAACCAGGUCGAGCCUUUUCAAGUUGGGUAAAUUCUGCCAGAAAUAGUAAAUGAAUGAGGUAACAAAUAAAAACUACUUUAUCUAUUUUUCUUCCUAUUUAAACUAUUAGCUACUAUCUAUUGAGUUUAUAUUUUACAUUACUUAAAAACCACUGUUAAAAAAACCACACUGUGGACUAACAAAACUCUGCCUAUAAAUUUUAUAGUUAUUAUAAAAAAUCACAAAAUUUAACGUCUUUUUGUUCCCUACCUAAAAUUACAUCCUAAUCAUUUGAACCUAAACUUAUUAUGUAUUCAAAAACUUAUGAUAGUAAUUUAUAAUCGAUCACAAUGUCAAAAUACUUUAUAUUAUACAUGUAUCAACUCACAAAAUAAAUGGUGUUGUCUCAGAUUUAAAAUUAAACCUUAGUUAAAAAGUCCAUCUUUCCAUAAUUUAUUUUAUUAAAUACAUAAUUUGUAAUUUAUUGUAUAUUAUAUUCAAGUUUAUGUUAUGAUAAAAAAAGUAUCUAAGGCAUUUUUAAUUAAAUAAUAUAAAAUAAACAACAUGAACUCAAUUAAAUAAUAUAAAUUUUUUUGAAUACUCGAUGGAAUAAAAAAAUUAAUAAAACCCUCAAUUUGAAAAUAACCAAAUUUAUAAGAUACUUAAAACUUAAUUAAACCUACAAAUUUUCAUUAUAUGGAAUUAAAUAUUGUAAAGAUUUACCACAUAAGUUUCAUAAGUAGAAGGUUUAAACAUAAAAUUCUUCACGUUGGGAGUUUCUUUCCUCUAUCUUAUAAGUUUUCGUUGUUUCUUUAAUAUUUUUUAUAUGGCUUCUGUCAAUGUAAUUUUUUUUUUGGUUUUAAAAUAUUAUUAAAGAUAAAAUAUGAAGACAGGGUAAUUAAAUUAAAUAUAAUUUUUAUUUUUCAGAAAUGAUGAAAAUUAUAAUUAAAUUAACUAAAUUAUAUAAAAUUCCAUUUUAUUUACAUAACUCAUUUUCAUAUUAAAAAACUAUAUAAGAUCUUCCAAAGUAGAUAUAAUACAUUCACGGGCCAUUAGAUGAUAUGCCUAAAAAAAUAUGCAAACUAUUAAAUUUAUAAUUAUCUUUAAUUAGAAACAUGCUGAGUAUGACUCAAAUAAAAGAAAUUUCAAAUCGAAUAAUGUCGAGAAGGCACAAAGGAAUUGCAAAUGAAAACUUGUAUAUGUAUAAUACAGAAAACAUGCUUGUAUAAUUUAUUUUUAUCUUUGAAAGUUUAGAACACAAAGGAACAUAGAUAGCUUGAAAAACCUGAUCUCCUUCCCAGAGUUGUUCAAGAUGGCAGAAUGGCAUUUCGAGGGUCACUAGAUUUUGUGGGCAAAAGUUUGGAGGCCAAAAUCUUUGAGGGAAAUGUGUCCAAUAAAGAAUCUUUAGAGUGUCUGGCAUAUCCACAAGAGGUGAUUCAAAAGACACUUUUAAUUCCAAUCCCCACGUGUAGAGCCUAAGCACCCUAAGAUUGUUCAUCUUUUCGAAACUUUGUGCAUGUACUACAACUUCUUUUACUUUGAAAGUAGAUAGUGAUAUACACUCUAUUGAAGUAGAUAGUGAUAUACACUCUAUUGCAUCUGACCCCUGAAAGUAAAUCAUGAAAUGUUGCAUUGCAGGAUGUUUGAUGACAGCUCAGUGGUUUGCAAUUUUUCACAAAGUAAAUCCAUUCUCAAUUGAGUAACGACAUAAUACCUUGUUCUUUCUUAAAACCUCUCAAAUUUCCUCAGCAUUAAACAAUCGGCUGCGUUUUCCAGGAUGCUGAGGACACUCUUUACGAACAAUUUCUUUACCCAUUUCUUGUAUUAGAUCGUGCAUCACAAUUCUACCAUGAAAGACAGAUAUUAGGCCCCUAUCUUUGAGAAUAUCCAUUCCAAUCUUGGAAGAGAAACCACAGUCAGCAAGUAUUUCUGCUACCACAAUCUCUUGUGACCUAUAUAAAAGCAAGCUAUGUCAAGAAAUAUAUUCUUCUCCUCCUCCUCGAGCCCAUCAUAACUUAAUUUUAAUACAUUGAAAAUACCAAGAUGUUGGCCCUUUUCCAACUUUUGCAACUGACUCUCCCAUGCUUCUCUUGUUCUUCCAUAAAGCAAUGACCCCAAAAUCUGGAGAGCUAAUGGAAUCCCUUUUGCAUAUCUCAACACCUUUUCUGACAGUUCCCUGUAAGCAAUUUCUUCUGAAGAUUUUUGUUUAAAAGCAAGUAAACUAAAAAGUUUCUGAGAAUCAUCAAAAUUCAACUCCUUAACUUCGUAGAUAUCAUCAGCUCUAGCAUUCUUAAGCACUUGUUUGUCUCUACUGGUGAUAAUGAUUCUACUGCCCUGCCCAAAACUAUCACUCCCUCUUAUUAAUUUUUGAAGUUGAGCUGAAUCGGUAACAUCAGUUAGAAGUGGAACACGUUUGUAGAAGUGGAACACGUUAGUUGGUUAGUUGCCUUAAGAAGCGGAUCAUGUAUUUUUUCUUGAACGUCUAAAACAAGGCUGCUGGAAUCAAACUGCAAUUCCAAUUUGUGAUAUAUUUGAUCACAAAUUGUAGUUUUUCCUAUUCCUCCCAUGCCACAAAUGCCUAUGAUCCGAACAUCCGGUAAGUCAAGAUGCAACAAGGACUGAAUUCCUUCAAUAUUUUUUUCAAUGCCGAUGAUUCCUUGAUCAUAACUGAUGGAAUAACGAUUCAAUUUUCUCAAAAUAUCUCCCACAAUUCCUUCAACAAGUGUGUGUUCUGACCUGGCAGAUGAUUUAGAAAAUAAAGUAUAAGUAUUCAUGCACAAAAGCUAAAACAAAACUAAAGAAAAAUUCAGAGUCAAGAAGAGUGAACAUCAUUGAAUAGAUUCACAUAUUGAUUGUAGGACGUUAUCUUCGAAUAUUAGUGUGGUUGGUUUAGAAAUUGCAAAUCAAGAUCGCAGAAAUUCUACAGUAACCGGUAGUGACUUCUGAUACUAGGAAGCAGUCUUGUAGGUACAAAGUUAAGCUAUAAGAUGUGAUAUGGUUCAGAUCUAUGACCCACUACGAAAAAUGGAAAAAAGAAACACUUGAUUUAUGGUGAGAUGAACACAAUUUUAGUAAAUGAAAAGAGAUCCUGAUUAUCUAAUAAAUAUAAUGACCUGGUGACUUUUGAAUCCCAGCCUGAAAGUCCAGCAGCUUCGGUGAGAGCAUCCUUCCAUCCUUGCACUUUGUCGUGCUUAAAGUGCUGCUCAUGCUCAUCGAAUGCUUCUUUGUAUCUUUCUUCCUGCUUCCUAAUAGUUGACGGAUCCACCUUGUAGAAAACAGGUAUGACAUCCCUUCCAUAUCUCUUCUUGCAAUCAAGUAUCUUAGUGAGUUCAUUCAAGCACCAAGUGGAAGAUGCAUAGUUUUGGGAGAAAACGACGAUAUAAAUCUUCGAUUCUUCUAUUGCAGAGAGCAGUGCAGAUGAAAUUUCUUCGCCCCGGGGUAGUGUCUCAUCAAUAUAUGCUUCUAUGUUCUUCCUUUGCAGUGCUGGAUGAAGGUGGCUAAUGAAGUUGUCACGUGUGUCUUCCCCUCUGAAGCUGAGAAACACAUCAUGCUUUGUUAGAGAAGUGGACACGGGGAAUGAUGAAGAACUUCCUGUUUAAUUUCUUCGCCCCUGUUUAAUCUGUAAUCAAUAUAUGCUUCAAUGUUCUUCCUCUGCAGCGCUGCAUAAAGGUGACUAAUGAAGUUGUCACGUGUGUCUUCCCCUCUGAAGCUGAGAAACACAUCAUGCUUGGUUAGAGAAGCAGACAUGGCCAAUGAUGAAGGGUUUCAAUUUUCUCUGCAACUCUCAGAUCCCUUUGUUUGUAAGCAACUUGCAUAUAUUCUAUUUCUAUCACAAAUCAACUUUUGGAAAAGCCUUCAAUUCAAAAUAUGCUUCACAGCUUUAUAUUAACGUGCCUAGCUUUAUACCAUUCUUACGCAUUGGUAAAGAUUCUUCAAUAUCUUUACUCAAUUUGUUUCUUCAAUACCUUUUACACAUUCUUACGCAUUGGUAAAGAUUCUUCAAUAUCUUUACUCAAUUUGUUUCUUCAAUACCUUUUACAUAUAAAGAAUCGGAUUUGUUUAAUAUAUUUUAGAAAAUAACCAGUAAACAGAAAACUAGGUUAAUAUGACUAAAUGAAUAAAGAUAGUACUCAUAAAAAAUAUUUUAGAUUACAAGUGGUAUAACUAAAAUAAAAUAUUUUAUUUUUAAAAUAAAAUUUAUAAAUAAAUAAAAAAAUAUAAUUGUUUAGUUUUCGGUGUAAAACAAUAUUCAUUUUUAUAAAAAAAAAUCUUUUCUCUUUUAUUUUAUUUUUAUAUUUCUAAUUAGAGUAUUCUUGAGUUUGACAAUAGAAUCCUUUCUUUGGACUUUUGGAAUUAAAUAAAGAUGUUAAUUGAAAAAAAAAAUUGAAAUAGAAACUAAUUUAGAAACCAAAUUUCUUUUUAGUUUCUAAAAUGGUCUCUAAUUUAGUUACUAUUGCAACUAAUUGUUUUGGUUUCUAGAAAUUGGUUUCUAUUUCAUGAUUUUCUUGUAGUGUAUACUGAAGGUGUGCACCCCUAUGAAAUGUUUUUAUUUCUAGUUGAUGUGUGAUUUCCAAUAAUUAUAUAAAUUGAUUGUUAUAUGCAGUGUGAAGUUUAACCUUGAUUUUUACUUGAAAAAAUGGAUUUUAAUAUGAGGUAUGCAUGCUCUCAUACUCAAAUUCAAUAAGCGGAAUUUUCACAUGUCAAUAGAAUUUGAACCUGCAUAGUUUUGGGCACUCUCCACCUCAAAUUCGCUCAAUGUUUUUUCCUGCGUUUAAGCGAAAUUACAUGCAGAUUUUGGAGUACUUUCGGGCUUAAAAUUGCUCAAAGAAAUUUCCCUAUGGCAAGCAAAUUUAAGCUACAAUUGUUUGGGUGUUCUUUGCCUCAAAUUCGUUGCCUCAAAUUCGUUCAGCGAAGAUUUCUCUGGGCUUAAGCCCCAACUUCAUGGGCUCGAGCCAUUUUGACAACAUUUGUCAUCUUUGCUUAGAUAUCUUUUGGUUUGUUUUCUAUAGGUCAUGAAAUUGAAUUAAAUCUUUUGAAAUUUAACAUGUGUUUAAAAUAAGUAAAUCUAACAUUUAUAAUCAUGCAACAUGUGUUUAAUUUAUAAAAAAAAUAUAAAACAAAUACUCAUUAUAUAUUCAAUUGAUAUGUAAAAUUUUAAAUAUUAUGUGAUUAUUGUUGAUAUUUUGUAACGGUUUUAAAAAUAUAAACUUCUAUAUGAUUGAAUGAUAUAUUAUCGAUACAUAGUAAUUUCAAGUAAGGAAAUACUUUGUUAAGGAUAGUUAGGAUGUGUCUUGAUUAGUAAUACAUUUAGAAUAAGAUAUUUGACUCUAUUCACAUAUUAAGGUGGUGACAGUCAAAUGAGAUUUAUAUGAUUUGAUCUACAAUAUAAAAAAUCAUAAUCUAACAUGCCAUAUGAAUUAACCUUGUCAUAUUAGGUGAUUCUAUUAUGAUAUUCUUAUUCGCAUAGAUGUGUGAAUUUCACAAUGGGGUAUUAUAACAUGUGCAAAUUUUUUAGUCUAAAUCAAUGUACGAUUCUUUCAGAAAUAGGGUCAAGUGUACAUGUGGAUCUAAUUAGAUUUUUGACAUGAGUAAUAUGGAACACAAGUCAUUUAGAGACACUUAAUUGUUUAAUAUAUUAGGAAUGAAUGAAGUGUGAUUAUUCAUAUGAUUAUGAUUGAAUGAUUCAAAUAUAAAUUUUAAAAAUCAUUAACUUAGCCUAAUUUCUUGUUAGUAUCAUUUUUUUGUUAGUAUCGUUUUUUUUUUAGAUUUGUUAUGAUCGUGAGUUACAUGUGAACAUAUGAUGUUGUAUGUUAUAGGCCUCAAAAUUGAAAAUGAGAGAGUUUUUUCUUUUAAUUCUUUUGAUGUUUUAUUUUGAUGUAUAUAUUUGAUUAUGAUAUAAUAAUAUUACAAUGUAAAUGUUAUUUAUAUACUAUCACAUGGUAAAUUAAAAUUUAAUAAGGUAGUUAAGGAUGUUAUAAUUAUUCUUUUAAUUUAUUUUAUUUCACUGUAUAUUUAGGUGUAUUACGUAAAAUGUAUAGUUAAAAAAAAUAAUGUUAUUUUGAAAUUUAAGCUUUUGUUAAAAUUAUACCAUUUGAAAAGGAACACAGAACAAUCUUGACAAUUAUACUGACUUAGUACUUAUUUUAAUUUAUUAUAUUCAUGAGUAUUAUUUUUUUCUUAAACAUAAAUAUUGGAUAAAAAAUAUAAAUAACAUUUAUUUAUUUCAAAUUUAAAAAUCUUUAAAAUAAAUAUAAAUAAUAUUUUUAAUCAAGAUGUGUUUUUUAACAAUUUUUUUUAAUUUAAAAAUAAUUAAUUCGGACGAUGAUUAAAGAAAUAUUAACAAAUUAUUUCUGCGAUUAUAAUAAACCUUCAAUAAUUUUUGCACUUUCUAGCAUAUAGAAUAUGGAUCCUUUUGUGAUUUUUCUUUUCUAAAGUACAAUUGAUAUUUUAAAUGUUUUUCUAUUUAAUUUUCCUUUCUUAAUGCACAUAAAAAUUUCAGUGCACAAUUAUUACUCACCUUAAUUCAAAAUGGAAAUUAAAAUUCAAGAACCCUACUUAUAUAUUAAUAUUCAACGAUUUAAAAUAUUAGUAUGCAAAUUAAUCUUUCUUAAUAAUAUUUGUAACAAUUUUUAAUAAUUCAAUGUGAAAUAUGUAAUAAUUACUUUUCUAUGAUUCAGAGGGAAAAUUAUUCCAACUAGACUUUUACAAAUAUAUUUCAAGUGGUAAUAUGAUUUUAAACAAAAAUAGUAUUCUCCACAAAAAUAAAUAGUUACUGUUCCUAAUUAAACAAGUCACAUUCUUGAACAAAAUAUCAAAUAACAAGGAAUUAGACUAUGAAAUGAUGACCAAUUAUAUUAAACAACAUAACAUACAUUUCUCAAUGUACACAAGGUAUAAAUAAUACAAUAUCAUCCAAAACCUGUGUUCACUAUGUAAAUAAACCAUUUUUUUUGCCAUUACCUCUUUCAUGAUGAUGAUUUGUUUACUAGGGAUUGCAAUGAUAGGUCAUGAUCAAAACUUAGGCCUAAGACUAAAAAUAGAAUGAAAUGAGCAUGAAAAUAAAGAUAACUUUUGAGUGAGACACAUUCUUCCUUACAAGCAGCAAGUUCUUCCAGGUUAUCUUCUCUUCCUUCAACCGUAGCUGUGCAACCGCCUGUUGUUCAUUGCCACCAAUAUCUCUAGUGCCAAAACUAUGUUUUCCAAAAUUAGAGUUAUAUGGCUUUAUCUGUGAAGUCUUACCAGCCAUAAUGUUUUAUUUUACUGUUUUGUUGUAAUCAUGCCAAUAGAUAAAUCGUGGAUUUGUAAACCACGAAACACCAUUGAGUAUGCAAAUGGGUUGAAUGUGUUUUUGGAUAUUGCAUUUCAACAUGCUAAUGGUCCUGUAAUUAAGUGUCCAUGUGCAAAGUGUGGUUUCAAAAAGUGACAAACAAGGGAUGUAAUCCAAGAACACUUAACAUUUACAACUUUCCCUCAGAACUACAAAACUUGGUAUUUGCACGGUGAAAGACCAAGUGUAAUUGAGCCUAUGGUCACUACAAGUGUGCAUGUCAUUGAAGAUUUAUUUGAAUCUCAAAAUACAAUGGAAGACAUGUUGAAUGAUGCAUUCGAGUUUGCGGGACAUGAUGAGGAUACUGAAGUUGAUGGUUUGCAAACUAAUAUGGUGGGUGAUGAAGGAAUAUGAACUUUGAUGAAUUGAUGAGGGACAAUAAUGAACCCUUAUAUGAAGGUUGUACAAAGCAUUCGAAGUUAUCAUUCAUGUUGAAGUUGUACCAUAUCAAAUGCAUGAGUAGAAUGAGUGACAAAGCAAUGACCAUGAUUCUAGACUUGCUAAUGAACACAUUUGAACAUGCUAAGUUUCCUAACUUGUUUUAUGAGGCGAAGACUGUGAUUACCAAACUUGGACUUAAUUAUGUCAAAAUACCAGCUUGCCCAAAAGACUGAAUGCUAUAUUGGGGCGAAGACAAUGAAGGCUUAGAAGAAUGUAAACGGUUCAAAACGUCUAAGUGCAAAAAAAAAAAAAGAUAAGAAGCAAUUGCAUUACUUUCCAUUAAAACUGUGAUUGCAAAGAUUGUUUAUGAGUUCUAAGAUGAUUGAGUCUAUGACAAGGCAUGCAUCAAAGGAUAAUCAAGAUGGAUUGAUGAGGCAUCCUAGAGAUUCUGAGGCUUGCAAAUCAUUUUAUUGCAUCCAGAAUUUGUAAAUGACCAUUGAAAUGUACGAUUAGACUUAGCUGCUUAUGGCUUUAAUCCUUAUGAAAACAUGAGUAAAAACCAUAGUAUAUGACGAGUGGUUAUCAUCCCAACAAUCACCCUCCUUGGGAGUUAUGAAGCAAACAUCUUUUAUCCUCUACAUGAUAAUUUCUGGAAAACAAAUGGUAGAAAAUGACAUUGAUGUUUAUUUAAAACCACUUAUAAGCAAAUUGAAGGAGUUAAUAGUAUGAUCAUGUAAUUAUUAUUUAUAUACUAAAUAUUACGACAUAUAGUAAUUUAAAAUUUGAUAAGGUAGAUGAGGAUAUUAAAAUAUCUCUUUUAAUUUAUUUUAUUUUAUUGUAUAUUUAGGUGUAUUAUGUAAAAUAUAUAAUUAAAAAAAAUAAUGUUAUUUUAAAAUUUAAAGAAUCACGUAUAGAAAGAAACAUAUAACAAUCUUGACAAUUAUAUUCUGACUUAGAGAUACUUAUCUUAAUUUAUUAUAUUCAUGAGUAUUAUUUUUUUCUUAAACAUAGAUAUUGGAUAAAAAAUAUUAAUAAUAUUUAUUAUUUAAAUUUUAGAAAUAUUUAAAAUUAAAAUUAAAAUUAAAUAAUAUUUUUAAUUAAAAUAUGAAAAAAAUUCCUUAACAAUUUUUUUAAUUUCAAAAUAAUUAAUUCAGAGGAUGAUUGAAAAAAUAUUAACAAAUCAUUUCUGCGUUUAUAAUAAACCUUCAAUAAUAUUUGUACUUUCUAUCAUAUAGAAUACUUAAUGGAUCCUUUUGUGAUUUUUCUUUUCUAAAGUACAGUUGAUAUUUUAAAUGUUUUUCUAUUUAAUUUUCAUUUCUCAAUGACAAAUAAAAUGGUUCAGUGCACAAUUAAUUAUUCUCACCUUAGAUUUCAUUCAUCUCAUUCCAUUUCCACACUCAAAUCAUUCUCACAUUUUUUUCUACCUAUUUCACAAAGUUUUUGUUAAAAUAUGGAAAUUAAAGUUCAAGAACCCUACUUAUAUUUCAUAUUCAACAAUUUAAAAUAUUAAUAUGCAAAUUAAUAUUUCUUAAUAAUGUUAUUUUUAUGUAAAAAUUAAAAUGUAGUUUAGUCAUUCAUACUUAGAUGGAUAAAAAUGGUUUUAGAAAGAAAAAAAUAUGCAUUUUUUUGAAAGGUUAUCUAAACUCUAAACUCAUUGAUGAAUUAAUAAUAAUAAAUAAUAUGGAAUUCUAUACGAAUAGCAUAUAAAUGUUUUCUUGUUGAAACUGAUAAUUAAUUCAGUCUAGGGACAAUUAUCGCGGUAUUUGUUCUUUUAUUUUUAAUGUUUAAACAAUUAUAAAAUUCUGUUUUUAGAUAUUAAAAUGAUAGUUUUCAUUUACAGAUUAAAAUAUUACUUGUUUCUUUUAAGAUUUUUUGUAUUAUAAUUAUUUGUUGUCUGAAUUGUUUUGAUUUAACAUGUUGUUUUCUUGGGCUAUGAUAUUGUGAGGUUUUAUUACAUGCAGGUACGUGAAUAUUUUUUUUAUCCUAGUUGUAUAAAUCAGGAAAAUUGUUUUUCACAUUAUAAUAACCGUUUAACAACUCUAAAUAAUAAUAAAAUAUUAACUCAUAUUGUUUAAUUAAAGUAUAAAUUAAAUUAUUAAAUAAAAAAGUAGUAAAACUGGUUGCAGGAUGGGAAUAUGAUUAUUUUUAACUGCUAGCUCCUGAUUAUUCUUUUCUAAUAAAAAAAACACCAAUAGCAACAAAACAAGUUUUGACACACGUAGGUUUGGCAAUUGUUUUAAUAGCUGAAAAUAGUACAACAAUUUUUAAUUACCACAAACUGCAUCUUAAAUCAUAAAAAAUUAGCAUUUUGUUAGUUCAUAUAUAAUAAAAUUUCCAUAAAACAGCCAAUUGUAUUAAUUAUUAAUAAUGUAUUUACAAUUUUUUUAGAUAAUUUUUUUACUAUAAAGACAUUUAUUUGAGAUUGAAAUUGUAAUUAACACUUUUUGGUCAAAGAAUAAUAUAUUUCACUUGAUUUUUUGUAUUAAAUAUUUUGUAUAGCGCUGAGACAAAAAAAAAUCUCAUAUAAAUCCCUAUGUGCUACAAGUACAAUAUAACAUCCUUAAUGUAAGCAAUAAAAAUGAUGAAUACUCAAAGUCGUGUAAUUACGCAAAAGAAUCAAGUGAUUUUUAAAAGAACUCACAUGAUCAGUUUAAAUUUUGACGAUAAAAUACAUUAAUUAUAUAUAUUUAUUCAAAAUUUCAAUUAUAUUAUGCAUUAAUGGUUUUAUGCUUUUAGAGGAAUCAGAGAAACUUAGAAAAGCUCCUAAAAACUAAUGUAACCCUAUGAAUAGAAGAGAGCUAAAAGAAAGAGAAAAUGGAAGUGAGAAAAGAUGAUAAUUAAUAAACACGCUCUCUUCAUAACAUAGAGUCUUUAAACCUAUAUUCCCUCAAACAAUUAUAAAGAAUUAACAAUCACACUUUUAUAAGUCAUCACCCACAUGAAACAAAACAAGGUGCCUCAAUAUGAAUAAACCAAGAUUAAUAAGAAAUAUGAGGUUUCACUAACCAAGCUCAGAAUUUUCUGCUUUUAUAGCUCCAUGCACAAACCUAAUACAAUGAUAUGAUAUUCACUGCAAAUGCAACCCAAAUAUGCUAAAGAAGUUAAUGAAACCCAAAUAUAAAGAAUUUGAAGAGAAUGCAACUCUGGGACAACAGAGCACACCAUCUCAUGCUGAACAGAAACAUCAAACUAUAUCUAACAAUAACUAUACCUAUGUUUGCUUUGGGUCUGUUUUUAGUUUCAAUGUUACUCUUUAUCUGCAGGUUGGGAACAUAUCUUGAUGAAAUAUAGAAACAUUUUUAUUCAUAAUAUAUAUAAGGAUUACACAUUCAUAAUUAUUUCUUUCUGUCGUAGCAUUGUCUACCUCAAAUCACUGCAACUUUCUGUUGUUGGUAUUUGCAUAUCACGAUGGUUAUUGAGAAAUUUAGGAGUUUGCUGUUGUGUACCAGAAGUAAAAUAGAAGGUUCAUUUUUUGGUCAUCAUCAAUUAUUAAUGUAAAUAGAUAUAGGUGAAGGAGAUCAGUAUUAUGCAUUGUAUCAUGGACCAUUAGAAGACUAGGGUCACCAAUUGGAGGCAUUGGUAACUUUGGCUAGUAAAACUAAAACCAAAGUCCAUUUUUACAAAGCCUUGGUCUAAUUCACCUUAUAGCUGUACUUUUUCCUCCAUUUUAAUAAUAUUAAGUUUUCAUUUUCUAUGCAUAAUCUUGGGUAAUUUUCUUUUUAUAUCAAUGCUUGAAGUGUCAAAUUGUUACAAGCUGGAUUAUUAAGAAAGAAAAGAGUGCAUUCUGGAUGCUCGAAAGGGAGUGUUUCCUAGAAAAAAAAUGUGAUUUCAGGGUGUCCAGGCUCAGGUAGCAAUGGUAGGAGUUCCACAUUGAAAUGGAUGAACUACUUGAUUUAGUACUUUGGGACUCUCUCACCUAAUGGACUAGUAUUUUGGGUUAGCUUCUCUCCCCUUAAUGCUUAAGUCCUAAAAAACAGUUUUUCUGUUUCUAUUUAUCUUUUAGGGUGUGAUUAGGACCAUGAAGCAGUGGGUGUUUUUUCCAUUAAUGAACUUUGCCACUGCCACAGAUCACCUAGGUUAACCUAAUUAAGUCUUCUGAAUUGUAUUUUGUAAUUAAUUCUUGUAAAACAUGGAGUGUAAAAUUCAUGUACAUUUUUCUUUUCCUCUUUUGAUUUGGAUGUCAAACUAGCAACUUCAUGUUUUGUCUGGUUGGUCUAUCACAUUUAUGUAGGUUGUAAUCUAUUUUGCCUAAUGCAUCAGUUGCAGAUAGGUACUAAAUUAUCUUAGUUCGGAUACACCUUGCCAAUUAGAUUAAGAUCAAGAAUUUAAAGUGAAUGGUUCACUUCUGAGUUCUUAAAUGAGAUAAAAUGUUCAGAGAUACUAAAUCAUCGCCUUCAUUUGAAAAUUGGCGUGCCUAUUAUGCUUUUGAGAAAUAUUGAUCAAACCAACGGUCUUUGUAAUGGAACAAGGUUGCAAGUUAUUGAUUUGAAGAAAAUGUUAUUUGUGCAAUAGUUCUAACAGGAACAAAUAUUGGUGAUAAAAUCUUCAUUUCAAGAAUGAAUUUGAUCCCUUUAGAUGUAGGUAUGCCAUUCAAAUUCCAGAGAAGACAAUUUCCAAUAGCUUUAUGUUUUGCAAUGACAAUUAAGAAAAGCCAAGGUCAAUUAUUGACCAAAGUUGGUUUAUAUUUUUCACAUCCAAUUUUCACACAUCGAUAGUUGUAUGUAGCUAUUUAUAGAGUUCGAAAGAAAAAAGAUUUAAAAAUUCUAACUCUUGAUGAAGAUGGAAUGCAACAAACAAGAAAAAGAAAAUGUUUACACUGAAAUUUUUGACAAUAUUUGAAAACAAUAGAAUUAUAUGAUAAACUUGGAAUGGCUAAUUCUCCCUGCAACCAAUAUUUUUGAACCUGCAACUUUUAAAUUUUUGAAAAUGCUCUUUAUUCCAGAAAUGAAAAUAAUACAUUACAAAAAAAAUAGAUCCAAAAAAGAUUAUUGUGUUUUGGUAAUAAAAAUCGGAAAACAAAAAUCAAAAGCCCAUUAUGAAUAAGAAAAUUCGUAAUACAAAAAAUUUGGUCUUAAAAACAAAAUCUGAAAACAUAUUCCAGAAAGAAAAUCCGAAAUGUAUUUUUAUAUAUAACCCAUUUUUUCAAGGGAGUUUCGUCUUUUCUAUUGUAAAAGGGGUUGGAAUUUGCUCCCUUGGAAUUAUAGUUUCUUAUGUGUGAUGUAGUAACAGUUGCCUUAUUUAAAAUGUUACUAAAUAACAUAUAAUUUAUAUCUGUUAUUUUUAUUCUGUUAUGACUUUAUAUAUUUGUCACAACAUGAAUGAGGCACAAACCCAUCUCAUGUUAACGAAGUUGAGAAUUUUCUGAUUUUACAGGUCCAUGCAAAAAUCUAAUAUAAUGAUAUGAUAUUCAAUAUCAAGAGGUACUUGUCGUAAAACGGGGAAUAUGAGAGACUCCAUAGAAUGAAGAAAAAGUAUAAAGAGGAUUUACAAAUUAACCUUUCAAAUGCAGCUCCUCAGAAUUUCAUAAUGCCUUCACUGCAAAUGCAACCCAAAUAUGCUAAAGAAGUUAAUCAAACAAUACAUGAGGAGUUUCAAGAAAAUGCAACUCUGGAACAACAGAGCAACCCAUCUCAUGCUGAACAGAAACAUCAAACUAUAUCUAACUUAGAAAUCUUUGUCAACAAUUGAACGAACCCACUCCUUAAAUACCAUUGAAAAUGUAAAUAAAACAAAAUAAAUUAAAAACGAGAAAUUCAUAAUAAAAAUUAAACGUGUUGAACCCUGUAAUUUAGAAGUAUUAACGAUAAGGCAGUUUAGAUCCUCACCAAUGAAAGAGACUAGCUGACUAGGUAGCUUUCGGCCUUCCUCUUCCUAUCUUCCCUUGUUUCUCUUGAAGACUCUGCAAUAUUGCUUCCAUUGGAUUGUUCAAAGUCAACAGCACCACCAUAUUUAUCAUCUUUCUUUUUCGUAUAAAGAGGGCAUAUGCCGCAUUCCUUUAUUGUGAUACCUGAUUUCAACCGAAAGUGAUAAUCACACGGACUGAUAAGUGAAGCUGCGAGCAUCACAGAUUCUAAGGCUCAUGCCGCUCGCCCUUAGGAACUCCAAGUUAAAUUUCCACACGAAUGUGUGAUCUUGAUCAACACAUCUCUCUUCACCAUUCGAAAUAGCUGUUUAACACAUCUAUCAUCGCUGCAGAAACUUAAAUCUUCAUUUAUAGUCACUGAAUGUCCCUUCCCACGAAAAUGGAACCAACCAGGAACUGCAGUCCCUGGAAAACAGAAGAACACAGACCUAUAUCUAUCGUCGGUCAUCCUAAGCCUUGCAUCCUCCUCAAUGUUAGCACGACCACCUGAAUCCAGUUGCUGAGCAUUGGUGAAAUGAAAUUUGAAUACACCCUCUUUGGAAUUUGAGAGGUUUCGAACAAGAGAAUUUGGCAUCACUCUUCUAAUGGAUGGGCAAUCCAAUGCCACGAGUUGCUUUAGAAAUGGUGGAAUCUGUGGGAUGCAUUCAAGCUUUUUGCAGUCGCUUAAAUCAAGCGAUUUCAAGCUUGAAAGAUGAGCAAUGCUCUCAGGAAGGUUCACGAUUCCGCUAUCACGCAGUGAUAGUUCCAUUAAUAACGUCAAACGACCAAUGUGUCUUGGGAUUUCUGUUAAUUUGGAGCACCCCGAACAAUUUAGAGAGAAGCUUCAGAUUAACAAUGGAGUUUGAAAGUGACUCGAUAUCAGUGUAUUUCUGAAGCUCCAAGGAUCGAAGAUUAACGAAAUUGCAAAAUGAGGAAGGCAACUGCGCAAACUCAGUUGUUGAAGCCCUACCAAACGGCACAAGGAUGAAGGUAGUGCCUGUAUGGCUGUGGCGUCUAAGAUGAGCACCGCUAGAUCUUCCAACGUGUCCUGAAUCUGGGGUAAAUUUUCCAAUUUUGAGCAACCACGGAGAGAAAGUUGCUUUAGGAAUUUCAUAUCAGAAAGGUCAAAUGGAAAGAUUGUAAGGGAAGAACAGUAAGAGAGAUCUAAAUGACAGAGCUUCUUGCAACUAAAGUGUAAGGGCACACCUUUCAUGAAUUUUGUCAACACUUCUAAGUAUAUAGUAUUAUUAGCCACUUCUUCUUCUUCAUUAUAUCUGUCAAAAGUAAUUGAGGAAGUUGGGAAAAUAUGACCACUGUAUGCACGAGGUUCACCACGCCGUCCUGCACCAUGCCGUUCUGAGAAAUUUAUCUCUUUGAUCAUAUCCGGUUUCUGGCGAUGGAAUCUUGAGAAAGUUUGACGUUGACGCUCCACGCUCCAGUAUCACAUGAGGGAAUCUUGAGAAAUUUCCACGUUGAUGCCCCAGUUUCUGAUGUGGGUAUCUUGUGACGCUCCAGUUUCACAUGACGAAAUCUGGGUUCACUGGUUGAAAACAUAUUAAGCUUCCCACAACAGGAAAUAUUAAUCCAUCCUUGUAAUGUGGAUAAAAUGUUGCUGGGAAUAUUUAUACUAUUCAGAUCAUAACAAUUAUCUAAACAUAAAUAACUGAGCUUGCUGAGUAAUAUCGAAGAGUGAACUUUAAUCAACUUUCCACAAUAACUCAGAAUUAUUUCUUCAAUAUUUGGUAAGAGAGAAAAGUCUGGUAUUCUAGUAAGUUUCCGAGAACCACUCAGGUCAAGCCUUUUCAAGUUUGGUAAAUUCUGCCACAAAUAGUAAAUGAAUCAGGUAACAAAUAAAAACCACUGUUAAAAAAAUCACACUCUGAACUAACAAAACUGUGGCUAUUCACUAUCAACAAUCCCUCUCAAAUACACUUCUACUAAUACAUUAACAACAAUAUCAUUAUAUUAACCAUAAAAUAUUACAUUUCUUCAGUUAAUACGUAGGACAAUAUAAUAAUCAGGUCACUCAGCUAAUGAAAAAAAUUAAACAACAUGAACUCAAUUAAAUAAUAUAAAACUUUUGAGUACUAGAUAAAAUAAGAAAAUUAAUAAAAAUUCAAUUUGAAAAUAAUCAAAUUUAUAAGAUACUUAAAACUUAAUUAAACCUACAAAUUUUCAUUAUAUGGAGUUAAAUACUAUAAAUAUUUACCACAUAAGUAGAAUGUUUAAAUAUAUAUUUCUUCACGUUGGAAGUUUUUUUCCUCUAUCUUAUAAGUUUUCUUUGUUUCUUUAAUAUUUUUUAAGCCAAUGUGAUUUUUUUAAUAUAAAAUAUUAUUAAAGAUAAAAUAUGAAGAUAGGGUAAUUAAAUAUAAUUUUUUAUUUUUUAGAAAUGAUGAAAAUUAUAAUUAAAUUAACUAAAUUAUAUAAAAUUCUAUUUCAUUUACAUAACUACUUUUCAUAUUAAAAAAACUAUAUAAGAUCUUGAAACUAUAAUUAAUAUUUCUACUCAUUUUUCGUUUUUGUUGGUGAAAUCUUGAUUUUGGGAUAGUAUUAGUGAGAUAUUGUUUGGAGUUAAAAACAAGAAAUUCUUUUGCAUAAUCAAUUUGAACAGUUUUGAUUUUGAAACCAGAUUUUCAGAGAAGAGUUUAAAGCGUUCAAAUGCAGCAAGAGCUUGAGAUUUAGCAUGCUAGAGAUAAAUUCAUGUAUAUUUUAAAUAUGCAUUAGGAAAAGAGAUAUCGUAUGAUGCAACAUUAUUAGCACAAACAACAAACAGCAGAACGUCCCCAAAUAUCAAUAUAGAUAAAUUCUAAAAGGUGAUUAUCCACACUGUUUUAGAACAACUUUGAUUACAGAAAAACUAUAACGCCCAAGUCUAUUAUGCCACAAGUGAAAAGAAGUUUUUUCAUAUUUAAAAGAUGUGUAGUUAGCAGAAAAAACAGAGGAUCAGAGAUCAAGAAAGACAGAGAGAUCAUCUUUAAGUGUGCCUUGUAGAAGAAUCUGUUUAGUUACUUAGUCUUUAACAUAGCAAGAAUGAGGGUGAAAUUCAAAAAACACAUUGUUGUUACGAGCAAACUUUGAAACACUAAGCAAAUUCUUAGUAUAAUGAGAAACAUGUAAAAGAUCAAGGAGAGAGAAGGAAGUACAAGAGGUAGACGACACACAGGAAGCAGAACCAAUGUGGGAGAUUUUUAUACCUGCACCAUUACCAAGUUUAACGUUCGCAAUGCCAUGAUAGAUUUGUUGAUCAUUGAACAGAGUAUGGUCGUUUGUUAUAUGGUGAGAGACACCGCUAUCUGGGUACCAUAAUGGAUCUUCUAAAGAUGAUGGUGGACCAAGAAGAGAGUAAGAAGAGUCAUCACGUGGAGGUGGAGAGAAAUGAGAUGUGUUUGCAGAGGAGGAUGGUGGUGUAGUACGAUCAAACCAGUGCCAACAAUGAAGAGCAGUGUGUCCAAGUUUGGAGCAUAUUUGACAGCGAACAGGGUUGCGUUUCCAUGAUGAAGACGUAGUGGAGUUCCAAGAAGAGUAUUGGGAAGGUCGGGGUUUGCCGCGGUUGAACUGAUUCUAGUUAGAUGUGGGAUUGUAACCACGACCACCACAGGAGGAGUUGGAAAAGGGGAGGUGGAGAGAAAUGAGAUGUGUUUGCAGAGGAGGAUGGUGGUGUAGUACGAUCAAACCAGUGCCAACAACAAUGAAGAGCAGUGUGUCCAAGUUUGGAGCAUAUUUGAGAGCGAACAGGGUUGCGUUUCCAUGAUUACGACAGUAAUAAAUGUAUUAUAUUCUUCAGAUAGCCUUCAAGGAUGAUGUCAAUAUGAUCAGUGGAAACAGGGGCAUCAAUAGCGGCAAGCAUGUUGACGGCGUUCUUGAUAUCAUGGAGAUAGGAGGAGAUGGAUCUGUGAUGACCUGAUUUUGUUGUUGGUACCAUUAGAGACUUGGGGACUGUCAUCAGUGGUGGAAGAAGUGGUUCUUGAUGGAACACUAGUGUCGUCAAGAAAAUGACCCAGUUUGAGCCCGCAAAUGGAGGCAAGGACUUGAUGUUUCCAGAGAAGAUAGUUAUCUUCAUCUAGUUUAAGAGUGAUGGGUGUUGUGAACUGUUGAACGGAAGGCAUGACCAGAGGUAACGGGCAAGAAGAAGAUGCAAAAGAAGAUGAAGAGAUAUGAGUGCAGUGCAUUAGAAUAGAGAGAGAAAGGAGAAAGAUAUUAUCUUAGUAUAUGUGCUAAAGGUAUAUAAGGAGUGCAGAACUGGAAACACUUACAAAGUUGUCGUUACACAGUUAUAGUAUGGUUAACAAUGUAUAAUACAGAAAACAUGCUUGUGUACUUUAUUUUUAUCUUUGAAAGUUUAGAACACAGAGGAACAUAGAUAGCUAGAAAAACCUGAUCUCCUUCCCAGAGUUGUUCAAGAUGGCAGCCUGGCAUUUCCAGGGUCACAGUCUGGCAUUUCCAGGGUCACUAGAUUUUGUGGGCAAAAGUUUGGAGGCCAGAAUCUUUGAGGGAAACCGUUCCAAUAAAGAAACUUUAGAGUGUCUGGCAGACCUACAAGAGAUGAUUCAAGAGACACAUUUGAUAUGAAUAUAGGCAUGUAGACCAUAAGCAUCAUAAGAUUGUCCAUCUUUUCGAAACUUUGUGCAUGUACUACAGCAUCUUUUACUUUGUUCGUAUGUAGUAAUAUACACUGUAUUGCAUCUGACCCCUGAAAGUAAAUCAAUUUAAUUAGGAGAAAAAAAACAUGAAAUGUUGCAUUGCAGGAUGUUUAAUGACAUCUCAGUGGUUUGCAAUUUUUUACAAAGUAAAUCCAUUCUCAAUUGAGUAACGACAUAAUACCUUGUUCUUUCUUAAAACCUCUCAAAUUUCCUCAGCAUUAAACAAUCGGCUGCGUUUUCCAGGAUGCUGAGGACACUCUUUACGAACAAUUUCUUGACUCAUUUCUNNNNNNNNNNNNNNNNNNNNNNNNNNNNNNNNNNNNNNNNNNNNNNNNNNNNNNNNNNNNNNNNNNNNNNNNNNNNNNNNNNNNNNNNNNNNNNNNNNNNGAUCCAUCUUUUUCUGCUGCUACCAUGUCGAACUCCCUUCAAAUCAAUACAAUGUCUUCACCAUCAAUCAGCCAAGUGAUUAAUGUUAAACUCACACAAGAAAAUUAUUUAUUGUGGUCUGCUCAAAUCCUUCCCUAUUUACGUAGUCAGGGGCUGGUUGGGUUUGUGGAUGGAUCCAUGCCACCACCAAACCAAACGAUUACGGUUGAGUCAAGUGAAGAAACAGGGAGCCGCAAAAUCCUGAAUUCACAGUCUGGUACCCCCAGGACCAGCUGGUACUCAGUCUCAUCAACUCAUCGGUUACCGAGGAAGUUCUCAGCACGGUGGUCGGAAUCACCACUGCACGAGAAGCCUGGGAUAUGCUGGAGCGGCAAUUUGCCUCCACAUCUCGAGCACGAGCAAUGCAGAAUCAUAUGGAACUCUCCACGAUCCAAAAGAAGGACAUGACAAUUGCUGACUAUUUUCGUAAAGUAAAACGUCUCGGAGACACUCUGGCUGCCAUUGGCAAGCGAGUAGAGGAUGAAGAACUCAUCGCCUACAUGCUGCAAGGACUUGGUCUAGAUUAUGAUCCUCUUGUCACAAGCAUUACAACUAGAACAGAUGUUUACACUGUCAGCGAUGUGUAUGCUCAUAUGCUGAGCUACGAGAUGCGUCAUCUGCGUAAUGGUACUCUUGAGCAAUUUCCUUUUGCUAACAAUGUCAACAGCAUGUCUAAUCGAGGAGGAACUAAUGGACGUCGUGGUGGUCGUGGUCGUCAAUCAAAUGGUGGUCGAGGACAAACAUGGCACACUAGAAACAAUUCUGGACGUCAGCCAUCAAAGGCACAAAGUAACUCAGACAAAGUCUGUCAGAUUUGUGGUAAGCCAAACCAUGAUGCUUUGCAAUGUUGGCACAGAUUUGAUCAGGCAUAUUAAGCCGAAGACAAUCUUAAACAAGCAGUUGUGGCCACAAGUGGAUAUACUGGUGAUGCAAACUGGUACGUAGAUACUGGAGCCACAGAUCACAUCACCAACGAGUUAGAAAGACUUACCACCAACGAACAUUACAAUGGCACUGAUCAGAUUCAAGUUGCAAAUGGCUCAGGUUUUUCUAUCUCUCAUAUUGGGAACUCAUUAAUUUCUGGUUCAUCUAGAUCUCUUGUACUGAAACAUAUCCUAUAUGCUCCUAAAAUCAAUAAACAUCUGAUUUCAGUACAAAGACUAGCAUCUGAUAAUAAUGCCUUUGUGGAAUUUCACCCACACUGUUUUUUUGUUAAGGACCGAGCCACGAAGGAACUUCUGCUCACAAGUAGAUGUAAGAAUGGCCUCUACACUUUACCAAAUAACUCCAGCAAAGCAUUCCCGACAGCCAAACUUUCGAAAGAACAAUGGCAUAGAAGACUUGGGCAUCCUGCUUUCCCAGUCACAAUUAGAAUCUUGAAAAAUAAUAACUUAGCUCUAGAUACUAGAGUUUCUUCUUCCUUAAUUUGCCAUGCUUGUCAACUAGAAAAGCACAUCAAUUACCCUUUGUUUCUUCUCAACAUGUAUCUACAGCACCUCUUCAAUUGAUUCAUACUGAUGUAUGGGGUCCAGCCAUUGUCUUAGUGAAUAAUUCUAAAUAUUAUGUUUCAUUUGUUGAUGAUUUUAGCAGAUAUGUUUGGAUUUAUUUUUUGAAAUACAAGUCUGAUGUUGAGUCUGUGUUUCAUCAGUUUCAAAAACAUGUUGAAACCAUGCUAAACACCAAAAUUCGCUCUGUCCAGUCAGAUUGGGGGGGUGAAUACCAUCGUUUGCACCAAUAUUUCAAAACAACUGGAAUUGAGCAUCGUCUUUCUUGUCCUCACACACAUCAGCAAAAUGGGUUGGUAGAAAGAAAGCACAGACACAUUGUGGAAACUGGCCUUACUUUACUUGCCCAAGCUAACAUGCCUUUGUCCUAUUAGGAUGAAGCCUUCAAUACAGCUUGUUACCUUAUAAAUAGACUACCAUCUCGAAUCAUACAAGCAAGACACACCACUUCAUAAAUUAUUUGCAAAAAAUCCAGAUUACACCAUGCUUAAGGUGUUUGGCUGUGCUUGCUGGCCCAAUUUAAGGCCUUACAACACCAAGAAACUGAGUUUUCGAACCACUAAGUGUGUCUUCUUAGGCUAUAGUUCUUCUCAUAAGGGAUACAAGUGCUUAGAUAGAAGUACAAAACGAAUUUACAUCUCUAGAGAUGUAAUCUUUGAUGAAAAUGUGUUUCCUUUUGAAGAAUUAAAUUCUAAGUCAUCAAUCCAAACCAAAAAUUCACACCAGCCUGCUCUACUUCCAACCUUCGUUAAACCCGUUCCAUACACUGAAAAUGCUCUCACAAAUAUUGAACCAGUUGUUAAUGAUUCUCGUAUAAUUGAUGGUCAAUCUAAUGAUGUUGCUAAUAACAACUUGUCUGGUAUAAGCUUACAUCCUGCAGAUAAUACAAUAAGUCCAGAAAUUGUUGCAGAACAGGAAGCUGAGAACAGUCUGACCAAUUUCCAAGAACAGAUGUUCNNNNNNNNNNNNNNNNNNNNNNNNNNNNNNNNNNNNNNNNNNNNNNNNNNNNNNNNNNNNNNNNNNNNNNNNNNNNNNNNNNNNNNNNNNNNNNNNNNNNGAACAAGAUUGAAAAAUAACAUUGUCCAAGCAAAACAGUUCACUGAUGGUACUGUCAGAUAUUCAGAGACCUCAAGAAAGUUUACCGGUGCUGUCACUGUCAAAAAUCCGACCACAAUAAAUGUACUAAAAAAUGCUACUGAGACUGAUACAGUUACUGAACCUCAAAACCUGCAGGAAGCUCUACAAAGUCCAGGUUGGCAGGAAGCAAUGAAUAAUGAGCUCUCAGCAUUACAACACAAUGAGACUUGGGAUUUCGUUCCACCAAAACCUGGCAUAAAUCUCAUUGAUAGUCGAUGGGUGUAUAAAGUGAAAAGGAAAGCGGAUGAAUCAGUGGAGAGAUUGAAAGCAAGGUUGGUUGCUAAAGGGUUCAAGCAAAGAUUUGGCAUUGAUUACAUUGAUACCUUUAGCCCCGUGGUCAAGCCAUCAACAAUCAAAGUUAUUCUUUCACUAGCAGUAACCAAAGGCUGGAAUAUGAGACAAGUUGAUAUCCAAAAUGCAUUCUUGCAUGGAAUUUUGGAAGAGGAAGUGUACAUGCGACAACCAUCGGGAUUUCAAGACCCAUAUAAACCAAAGGAAUACAUAUGCAAACUCAAGAAAGCGCUUUAUGGCCUGAAACAGGCUCCAAAGGCUUGGCACUCAAGACUGACUGGAAAACUUAUGGAAUUAGGCUUUAGAGCUUCUGUAGCUGAUUCAUCUUUGUUUAUCCUCAAAAACAAAGAGGUAACCAUCUAUAUGCUCAUAUACGUUGAUGAUAUAAUUAUCGUGAGCUCCUCUGAUCAAGCCACCGAAAGGUUGAUUCAGAAGUUGAAAAUAGAUUUUGCUAUAAAAGACUUAGGUGGUCUUGAGUAUUUUCUGGGUAUUGAAGUCAAGAAGGCAAGAGAUGGCAUCACANNNNNNNNNNNNNNNNNNNNNNNNNNNNNNNNNNNNNNNNNNNNNNNNNNNNNNNNNNNNNNNNNNNNNNNNNNNNNNNNNNNNNNNNNNNNNNNNNNNNAAAUUAUUCAAAGAGCAGGGAACACUCUUGUCAAUUGAAGAACAAUUUAAAUACAGAAGUACUGUGGGAGCAUUGCAAUACUUGACAAUGACCAGGCCUGAUUUGGCAUUUGCUGUCAACAAGGUUUGCCAAUACCUUCAUACGCCUACUGAUGCUCAUUGGAGUGUUGUAAAGAGAAUCCUUCGUUAUGUCAAGGGCACAUUAGAUUUGGGAAUCAGAAUUCAGAAGUCUCCAACAAUGCUGCUGUCCGGAUUUUCUGAUGCUGAUUGGGCUGGUUGUCCUGAUGAUCGACGUUCAACUAGCGGCUUUGCUGUAUUUCUUGGAGCAAAUCUAAUUUCUUGGAGCUCUAGAAAACAAACCACAGUGUCCAGAUCGAGCACCGAAGCAGAAUACAAGGCCAUUGCGAAUCUGACAGCAGAAAUGAUUUGGAUAAAAUCAUUAUUGAAAGAGCUUGGUGUGUAUCAAUCAAAAGCUCCUCGACUCUGGUGUGACAAUCUAGGAGCUACAUACUUAACUUCAAAUCCAGUGUUUCAUGCAAGAACAAAACAUAUUGAAGUUGACUUCCAUUUUGUUCGAGAACAAGUGGCACGCAAAGCAAUGGAAGUUCAGUUUAUUUCAUCAAGUGAUCAAGUGGCUGAUAUCCUAACAAAACCACUGUCUAGAACUCUCUUUAUUACACAUUGUAACAAUCUCAACAUGUAUAAAACCUGUUGGGAUUGAAGGGGACUGUUAGAAUUAGUCAGUUAGAAGUGGAACACGUUUGUAGAAGUGGAACACGUUAGUUGGUUAGUUGCCUUAAGAAGCGGAUCAUGGAUCCAACCGUGUAUGCAAUCAGUUACCUUUCUUUAAUUAUAAAUACAAUACGUCCUCCACAUAGAGAGGUACAGUUAGCAAACUUUAUUAGAGCUGAAUCGGUAACAUCAUCAAGAAUGAGGAGAACCUUUGUCCGUUUGAGCCUUUCAUUGUAAUAUGGUGAAGAAGAGGAUUUCUCUUCCUUUAGAAGCUCAGACUGAUAUUUUGUUCUGAUACUGUCUAUUCCAUCUCUUUGUAUUUUUUCUUGAACGUCUAAAACAAGGCUGCUGGAAUCAAACUGCAAUGCCAAUUUGUGAUAUAUUUGAUUACAAAUUGUAGUUUUUCCUAUUCCUCCCAUGCCACAAAUUCCUAUGAUCCGAACAUCCGGUGACUCAAGAUGCAACAAGGACUGAAUUCCUUCAAUAUGUUUUUCAAUGCCGAUGAUUCCUUGAUCAUAACUGAUGGAAUAACGAUUCAAUUUUUUCAACAAGUGUGUGUUCUGUGCUGGCAGAUGAUUUAGAAAAUAAUGUAUAAGUAUUCAAGCACAAAAGCUAAACUAAAGAAAAAUUCUACAGCAUCCGUUUGUGACUUCUGAUACUAGGGAGAAGACUUGUAGGUACAAAGUUAAGCUAUAACAUGUAAUAUGGUUCAGAUCUAAGACCGACUAAUAGAAAUGAAAAAAGAAGCACUUGAUUUAGGGUGAGAUGAACACAAUUUUAGUAAAUGAAAAGAGAUCCUGAUUAUCUGGAAAGUGCGUGACCUGGUGACUUUUGAAUCCCAGCCUGCAAGUUCAGCAGCUUCGGUGAGAGCAUCCUUCCAUCCUUGCACUUUAUCGUGCUUAAAGUGCUGCUCAUGCUUUUCGAAUGCUUCUUUGUAUCUUUGUUCCUGCUUCCUAAUAGUUGAUGGAUCCACCUUGUAGAAAACAGGUAUGACAUCCCUUCCAAAUCUCUUCUUGCAUUCAAGUAUCUUAGUGAGUUCAUUCAAGCACCAAGUGGAAGAUGCAUAGUCUUGGGAGAAAACGAUGACAUAAAUCUUUGAAAAAUAAGUAUGAAAUCUAGAUAUAUAUCAUUAUCACGUGUGGAAGCUACGUCGUCUUGUAUUGGAUUUUCUAAUCUGCCUUUUAUCUUGUCUCAUUCUUCUUUAUCUUUUUUCUCUCAUCUCUCUUGCUUACGAUUUCUUUGCCUUUAUUCAGAAAUUUUAGUUAUAAUAAACCUUCAAUAAUAUUUGUACUUUCUAGCAUAUAGAAUACUUAAUGGAUCCUUUUCUGAUUUUUCUUUUCUAAAGUUCAAUUGAUUUUUUAAAUGUUUUUCUAUUUAAUUUUCCUUUCUUAAUGACACAUAAAAUGGUUCAGUGCACAAUUAAUUAUUCUCACCUUAGAUUUCAUUCAUCUCAUUCCAUUUCCACACUCAAAUCAUUCUCACAUUUGUUUCUACCUGUUUCACAAAGUUUUAGUUAAAAUAUGGAAAUUAAUGUUCAAGAACCCUACUUAAUAUUAAUAUUCAACAAUUUAAAAUAUUAAAAUGCAAAUUAAUCUUUCUUAAUAAUGUCAUUUUUAUGUAAAAAAUAAAAUGUAGUUUAGUCAUUUAUACUUAGAUGGAUAAAGAUGAUUUUAGAAAAAAAAAAUGCAUUUUAUUUCAAAGGUUAACUAAACUCUGAACUCAUUUAUGAAUUAAUAAUAAUAAAUAAUAUGUAAUUGUAUUCCAAUACCAUAUAAAUUUUUUUUAUUGGGUGCGUUUCUGAUGAAUUAAUGCACUCUAGGGACAAUGAUCGCUCUAGUAUUUGAUUUUUUAUUUAUUUUAAUGUUAAAAUUAUAGCUAUGUAGUACAGAUAUUACUGACACAGACAGACACGAACACGGACACAGAAAUACAUAAAAUCUCUAAAAUGUAGAAUACGGAGACAUUAAUCUAUAUAUUAUAUAAUUAUGAAUCAUAUAAAUUAACAAUAAAGAUUUAUGUGCACAAGUAUUUUUGAGAUUAUUUUUUAGAACAGAAAUAUGUUUUUCAUGACUAGUUCACAAAUAUUUGUUUCUUAUUCUUAUAAUCAUAAUAACAAUUUAUACCAUAAAGUUUCAAUUUUAGAAAAUUAAUGUAUUUUUUCUUUUUAAAAUUUCGUUAGAACUGUACUAGAAUUGUAAAAAAUCUAACAAAUACAUUUUGAAUUGGACAUUCCACGAAUACGUGUCCUACCAGUAUUUUGAACAACAUUCUUUCUUUUGGAACAAAGAGGGCAUAUGCCGCAGUCUUUUACUGUGAUAACUCAUUUCAACUCUCACACAACUGAUUCGUAAUCUGUGGGAUGCAUUAAAGCCUUUUGCAGUUAAAUCAAUAGUAUAUGAUGAUGUGAAUGUUAUUUAUAUACUAAAUAUAAUCACAUAGUAACUUCAAAUUUGAUAAGGUACAACAUGUUACCAUAUCUCUUUUAAUUUAUUUUAUUUCAUUAUAUAUUUAGGUGUAUUUAAUUUCUUUUAUUUCAUUGUGUAUUUAGGUGUAUUACGUAAAAUAUAUAAUUAAAAAGAAAGAAGAAUAAUGUUAUUUUGAAAUUUAAAGAAGACAUAUAGAAAUAAACAAGCUUUUGCUAAGAUUCCACCAUUGAAAAGGAACAUAGAACAAUCUUGACAAUUAUACUUUGACUUAUUUUAAUUUCUUAUAUUUAUGAGUAUUAUUUUUUCUUAAACAUAGAUAUUGGAUAAAAAAUACAAAUAACAUUUCUUUAUUUCAAAUUUAAAAAUAUUUUAAAUUAAAAUAAAAUAAUUUUUUAAUUAAGAUAUAACAAAAUAUUCUUUAACAAAUUAUUUUAAUUUCAAAAUAAUUAAUUCAGAGGACGAUUGAAAAAAUAUUAAAUAUUAUAAUAAAGCUUCAAUAAUAUUUGUACUUUCUAGCAUAUAGAAUACUUAAUGGAUCCUUUUAUGAAUUUUCUUUUCUAAAGUACAAUUGAUUUUUUAAAUGUUUUUCUAUUUAAUUUUUCUUUCUUGACACAAAAUGUUCAGUGCACAAUUAAUUACUCACCUUAGAUUUCGUUCUUCUCUUUCCAUUUCCACACUCAAAUCAUUUUCACCUUUUUUUUCUUCUUAUUUCACAAAACUUUAAUUAAAAUAUGGAAAAUAAAGUUCAAGAACCCUGCUUAUAUAUUAAUAUUCAAAAAUUUAAAAUAUUAAUAUGCAAAUGAAUAUUUCUUAAUAAUUUUAUUUUGAUGUAAAAAAUAAAAUGUAGUUUAGUCAUUCAUACUUAGAUGGAUAAAGAUGGUUUUAGAAAAAAAAAAAGAAUAUGCAUUUUAUUUGAAAGGUUAUCUAAACUCUGAACUCACUGAUGAAUUAAUAAUAAUAAAUAAUAUGGAAUUCUAUUCCAAUACCAUAUAGGAUGGAGAAAAGUAAGAAGAGGAUUUACACAUUACCCUUUCAAAUGGAGCUCCUCAGGAUUUCAUAAUGCCUUCACUGCAAAUGCAACCCAAAUAUGCUAAAAAAGUUAAUGAAACUAUAUAUGAAGAGUUAAUGAAACUAAAUGGCGUGUGCUGAAAUUUUUGAUCCGAUAACCAUGCCCACAUUCAAAAAGUGAAAGGUUACUUUGCUUUAUAUUCCUUUGGGUGGUGCUACUUUUCAACUUGACAACAAAUUCCCAUUAUUGUGUGGUUAUCAAUUACCAUUUAACUUAUUCUCAUACCACAUUCACUAUAUAAUAGUCCAUCAUAAACCCCAAAAUUUGCACAUUUUCUAUUUGCAAGACAUCCAACAGACAAAGAAAACAUGUGAAACUGUGUAAUAAUGUGAGAACGUAAGAACUUACUUCAUCAUGAAAUCAAGCCAUGCCUGAGGGUUUUUUCUGAGAGCAUUCACCACAGGUGCAUAUUCAUGUGGCUGUAUCCCAUACUCAGCUAGUAUUUCUGCUACCUCUGCCGCUUCUUUUUUUGUCAAAAAACACAUAUUCAUUAUUAAUGUGCAAUCAAAUGGUAACGAAACUAUGUAGUACAAACACACACUGAUACGACACUAGGACGAACAUACGUAUAAUGUUACUCCUUCUAUGGAAAUGAAGGAUAUUCAGCAAUAACUUUUAAAACUCAUUACAUAGAAAUUUGCAUCAAGUUAUCAAAGUCUAUAGGAAUGAAUUUUCAAUUCAUGGAAACACAGAUAACAAAAAGUAAUAGAAAAAUAGAAAAAAAGUUGUCAAAUGAUUCUAUAAAAAAUUAACCUAUCAUGAAAAUCAAGAUGAUAGAAAAUAAAAUAAUGUGGCAUGAACAUCAAAAUCGUAUAAAAGCAUAAUAGAAGAACAGUGGAUACCAGUUUCUGGCACGGCGAUGAUUUCUUCUUGCUCUCUUUUCAAUUCCCUCGAGUAAUUAUCGGCUUCACUUUUUGCUGCCAAAUAACUGCACAAUGAAAAUUAACAUGAAAUAAUAACGGAAUUUAAAUUGAGUUUUGUGAGUGUGAAGAGUGUGGUUGAACGUACCCGCCGAGGCCCAUGGAGAUGGCGCCGGCGGCGACUUCCGCUAUGCCAGCGGUGAGAACGAUGGAGGAGGUGACAUUGGCGCCGGAGAGGCCGGCGGCGAGGGCGAAGGGGACGGUGAGGCCGUCGGAAACGCCGAUGAUGAUGUCGCGGACUAUUUCGCCGGCGGUGAAGUGCUUCUCGGUGUGGUGGUUGAGAAGGUUCGUUCUCUCAGAAUCCACGCUUAUGCCGUGUUCGGUGGCGGCCAUUGGUGCAAGCUUGUGAAUGUGUUUGAGUUCGCCAACGUGCUCUGGGAAUCCAAACAAAGCCUUGCUGCUUUGCACAUAAAUUGAGCCUCUUUUGUGCUCAACUUACUCCUAAAUAGAACAAAAAUAUCUAACCGUUGAUGAUAUCCACGUGGAAAAUUAUCAAUGGAUAUCAAUAUCACAUUAUUUCUACACUAAUAUUUUAAUUAUUUUUAAAUAUUAUAACUAAAUCAAUCAAUAUAAUACCAAAUCUUCUUAAUUCUUUGGAUUAUAUAUAUUUUAUUUUAUUUUAUUUAUAAAGGAAGUUGUGAUAAAUGUUGUGUUUUGUGUGCACAUUAAUAAAAAUCAAAUAACCAAAAAAUAAUAAUCUUGUGAAAGAAAAAAUGGUAGAAUUUAUACUAUUCUACAAAAUUUUAAAAGUGGCUAAUGUGUUUUACUCAACUAUGUAAAUAAUUUUGGACUCUCUUGUUAAGGAAAUAAUGAAAUACAUUAAAUUUUGUUUUAUACUCUUACUUUAAGUUUUUUUGUGUUUCUCCUGACUUAAUUAAAUAUCAGAGAGUCGUCUUUUGCAGGUAGAUUUCAUUCUAUCAUAAUAUACCAACUGAAAACUUGUUUUCUGAAAAACACACGGCUCUCACCGAAUUGCACUUUCCAAUUUUUUUUAAUAGAAAUAAUAAUAAUUAAGUAUUUGUGUUCUUAUAUUUAAUUUUUAAUAAAAAAAUUAUUCUUAUGUACUUCUAAAUUGAUAUAUUUUACCAAUGUCUAUUAACAAUGGGAAGAAGUUUAUACCUAACAAAACUAUUUAACAUGAUUUGUUUGUAAAUUAUAGAAGUAUGUGUAGAAAGAUAUAAAAUUAAUGUUUUAAGAGAAAUUUAAGCAACUUUCAUAAUAUAUUGUAGAUUAUUAGUUGAAUUUAUGGAAAUUAAAAAUAAAUUGUAGGUCACCACACUUCCACUUUUUUUUAAUGAUAUCAAAUCACAACUUUACAAUUUUCACUAAUUUUUAACCAAUAACAAAAGAACAUCUUAGAAGAAGUGUGUUUAAGAAUUUGAUGUUAACUCUCAUUGUUUUUUAAACUUAAAUCCAGCUUUAUUCUUCAACUUUUAAUUUUUAUACAUAUUUAAUUGUAUAUAUAGUUUUUAACUCUCUAAAAUCAAACAAUUUUAAUUCAUUAAAUAGGCAAUGUCAUGAGUGUUAAACUUUUAACAUUUUUCUAGUAAUUAAAUUACUUAUGAAGAUUCAACUAAUUCAAAAUUUAAUAUUUUUACAAUUUUUAUUAUAAUAUUCUUAAAAUAUAUUUUAAUAUUUUGUUUUUCAUGUUUGAAAUAUAAAUGUUUUAAAAAAUCAUUUUAAAUUAUUUUGUUUCUCAUCUUAUGUAAUAAAUUACUAUAAUAAUUACUAAAACAUUUAAUACCUAUACAUUUUUAAUGAGCAAAAACUAAUAAUGAAUUAUAACAAAUAAAAAACGUUUCUGGGCAACAAAAUAGUAAUUAAUAUGAAUUAUAACAAAUAAUGAACGUUUUGUGGUAAUUUGUUUCACUUUCAAAUAAGUUAGUACUUCGCCUGUUAUUUCAUAACGGUAGUUUUUUUAAAUAUAUUAAGAAAAAUGUUUAUUUUUUUAUUUUUAAUGCACUUUUAAGUAACUUGCCUAUUAUAUUAUAUUAUAUGGGUAUUAUAUAUAUAUAGGUAAGCACCAAAAAAUAAAUUUAAGGUAAAAGUGAUAUAAUUAAAAUAAAAUAAAUUAUUAUUAAAUAGAAAAUAUAUAUAAUUAAAAAAAUCAGUUAUUUAAGUUUUAUUUUAAAAUAAUUUUUGUAAAAAAAUUUUCUUUUUUUCCUUGUUCACGAUUUUAAAUUUUAUAUUCACUUGGUAGACAUGUUUUGCAUGUGGUGUUUGGGACUUAAAAGAAUAAUAUAUGUUAGUUCAAGAUCCUAAUGAUGUGUUUUUAAGAAGUUGGACUAUCUUUGUUUUUUUAAGAAGUUGAAGUCUUUUUAUGAAUACUUAUCUUUUUAAACAGGUAAGAUAAACUAGUUUUAUCUGUAAAACUUAAGUUAGAAUAUCUGAAUAUGAAAUGUGAUUCUUCAUAUGAUUAUGAUUGAAUGAUUCAAAAUUCAAGUAUAAAGUUUUAAGAAUCAUUAACUUAUGUUUUUUUUUUUGUGCUAUUUUUUUGAUUUUUUGCAAUGAUUGUGUGUUGCAUGUGAGCAAAUGAUGUUACAAGUUGUAAACCUAAAAAAAAAUCAUGAAAUUUUGUCUUUUUUAUUCUUUUGAUAUUUUAUCUUAAUGAUAUAUAUAUAUAUAUAUAUAUAUAUAUAUAUAUUUAAAAAUCUCUAUAUGAAAGGAUAGUAUUUUAUGAUAUAAUAAUAUGAUAAUGUAAAUGUUAUUUAUAUAAUAAAUAUCAUGAGAUAAUUUAAAUUUUGAUAAGAUAAAUGAAGAUGUUACAAUAUCUCUUUUAAUUUUUUUUUAUUUCAUUAUAUAUUUAGGCGUAUUUAAUUUCUUUUAUUUCAUUGUAUAUUUAGGUGUAUUACGUAAAAUAUAUAAUUAAAAAGAAAAAAUAAUGUUAUUUUGAAAUUUAAAGAAUGACGUAUAGAAAGAAACAAGCUUUUGUUAAAAUUCCACCAUUGAAAAGGAACAUAGAACAACACUCUUGACAAUUAUACUUUGACUUAGAUACUUAUUUUAAUUUAUUAUAUUCAUGAGUAUUAUUUUUUCUUAAACAUAGAUAUUGGAUAAAAAUUAAUAAAAUUUAUUUAUUUCAAAUUUAAAAAUAUUUAAAAUUAAAAUAAAAUAAUAUUUUUAAUUAAGAUAUAAAAAAAUAUUCUUUACAAAUUUUUUUAAUUUCAAAAUAAUUAAUUCAGAGGAUGAUUGAAAAAAUAUUAACAAUCUAUUUAUGCGUUUAUAGUAAACCUUCAAUAAUAUUUGUACUUUCUAGCAUAUAGAAUACUUACUGGAUUUCUUACUCUUUCUUUCUACACCUCUAUCCAUACUAAAUAUAAAAAUACCAUUUUAUUCUUUUUUCUCCACCCCUUGAAUUUGAAAUAAUAAGCCCAUGGAUUAUGUAAUCUGGAUAUAUUCCGGAUUAGUCAAUUUCAUAUUUAGAAAAGACUUUCGGAUUAUGUAAUCCAGAAGCUAAUAAAACAUCUGAAAAAAAGGCUUCCGGAUUACAUAAUCCGGAAGCUAAUCUUAUGUAUAGAAAAGACUUUCGCAUUAUGUAUUCCGGAAGCUAAUCACAAAAGACUUCUGGAUUACAUAAUCCAAACGCUAAUUCUAAAUCUAGAAAAAAGACUUCCGGAUUAUGUAAUCCGGAAUAUUAAAAAAGAUAUUUUUGAAAUACGAAAAAUUUAUGGGGGUGACACAAGAAGGUAUGGAGGUGCAGGAAGAAACAGCCUGGAUUCCUUUUGUGAUUUUUCUUUUCUAAAGUACAAUUGAUAUUUUAAAUGUUUUUCUAUUUAAUUUGUCUUUCUUAAAUGACACAUAAAAUGUUCAGUGCACAAUUAACUACUCACCUUAGAUUUCGUUCUUCUUUUUCCACUUCCACACUAAAAUCAUUUUCACAUUUUUUUUACCUAUUUCACAAAAAUUUAAUUCAAAAAUGGAAAUUAAAGUUCAAGAACCCUACUUAUAUAUUAACAUUCAACAAUUUAAAAUAUUAAUAUUCAAAUUAAUCUUUCUUAAUGUUAUGAAAAAUUUAAAAUGUAGUUUAGUCAUUCUUGGAUGGAAAAAGAUGGUUUUAGAAGAAAAAAAUGCAUUUUAUUUGAAAGGUUAUCUAAACUCUAAACUCAUUGAUGAAUUAAUAAUAAUAAAUAAUAUGGAAUUCUAUUGGAAUAGCAUAUAAAUGUUUUGUUGUUGAAACUGAUAAUUGGGUGCGUUUCUGAUGAAAUUAAUUAAUGCAGUCUAGGGACAAUUAUCGCUCUAGUAUUUCAUUUUUUUAUUUUUAACGUUGAAAUUAUAAUUAUACAAUUCCGUUUUUAGAUAUUAAAAUGAUAGUUUUCAUUUACAGAUUAAAAUAUUACUUGUUUCUUUUAAGAUUUUUUUGGUAUUAUAAUUAUUUGUUAGCUGAAUUGUUUUGCGUUAACAUGUUGUUUUCUUGGGCUAUGAUGUAAGCAAUAUAAAUGUUAUUUUUAAUGUAAGCAAUAAAAAUUAUGAGUAUUCAAAGUCGUGUAAUUACUUAAAAGAAUCAAGUGAUUUUUAAAAGAACUCACACGAUCAGUUUUAAUUUUGACGAUAAAAUAUAUUAGUUAUAUAUAUUUAUUCAAAAUUUCAAUUAUACUAUGCAUUUAUGGUUUUAUGCUUUUAGAGGAAUCAGUAACUUAGAAAAGCUCCCAAAAACUAAUGAAAUCCCAUGAAUGAAGAAGGAGAACAAAUGGAAGUGAAAAAUCAGUAAGAUGAUAAUUAAUAAACACCCUCUCUUAAUAACAUAACAUAGGAGUCUUUAAACUUAUAUUCUUCAAACAAUUAUAAGCUGUCUUCAACUUUACUGUUAAACUACAAUUAUAAAGAAUUAACAAUCUCACACACCAACAACAUUUAUAAGUCAUCACUCACAUGCAACAAGGUGUGCCUCAAUGUGAAAAAACCAAGAUCAAUAAGAAAUGAGGUUCCACUUAACCAAGCUGAGAAUUGUCUGGUUUUCCAGCUCCAUGCACAAACCUAAUACAAUGAUAUGAUAUUCAAUACCAAGAGGUACCUUGUCGUAAAACUGAGAAUAUGAGGUUGCAUAGGAUGGAGAAAAGUAAGAAGAGGAUUUACCAAUUACCCUUUCAAAUGCAGCUCCUCAAGAUUUCAUAAUCCCUUCACUGCAAAUGCAACCCAAAUAUGUUAAAGAAGUUAAUGAAACCGAAAUAUGAAGAGUUUCAAAAUAAAAAUUUAACAUGUUGAAACUUGUAAUUUAGAAGUAUUGACUAUAAGGCAGUUUAGAUCCUGACCAAUGAAAGACUAAUAAGCAGAAGAGGAAGAGACUAGUUGACUGGCUAGCUUUCGGCCUUCCACUUCCUAUCUUCCCUUGUUUCUCUUGAAGACUGUGCAACAUUGCUUCCACUGGAUUCUUCAAUCUCAACAGCACCACCAUAUUCAUCAUCUUUCUUUUUCGUAUAAAGAGGGCAUAUGCCGCAUUCUUUUAUUGUGAUAACUGAUUUCAACUCUCUCACAACUGAUUCGUAAUCUGGCCACCCAAAGUCAUAAUCACACGGACUGAUCUCAAAAGUGAAGCUGCGAGCAUCACAUAGCCUGAGGCUCAUGCCGCUCGCCCUUAGGGACUCCAAGUUAAAUUUCCACACGAAUGUGUGAUCUUUAUCAACACAUCUCUCUUCACCAUUCCAUUUGAAAUAGCUGUUUAACACAUCAUUAUUUGGAAUGAUCUGUGUGCCAUCAUCAUCAGAUUCAAAUGUUAGGCUGUAACUAAAAGAACCAUAUCUACCAUUCAUAGCAUACGUAUCUAACACUCCAAAAACCACACUCAAAGCGAAACCAGUGAGCCUAUCAUCGCUGCAGAAACUUAAAUCUUCAUUUAUAGUCACUGAAUGUCCCUUCCCACGAAAAUUGAACCAACCAGGAACUGCACUCCCUGGAAAACAGAAGAACACACACCUAUAUGCAUCGUCGGUCAUCCUAAGCCUUGCAUCCUCCUCAAUGUUAGCACGACCACCUGAAUCCAGUUGUUGAGCAUUGGUGAAAUGAAAUUUAAAUACACCCUCUUCGGAAUUUGAGAGGUUUCGAACAAGAGAAUUUGGCAUCACUCUUCUAAUGGAUGGGCAAUCCAAUGCCACGAGUUGUUUCAGAAAUGGUGGAAUCUGUGGGAUGCAUUCAAGCUUUUUGCAGUCGCUUAAAUCAAGCGAUUUCAAACUUGAAAGAUGAGCAAUGCUCCCAGGAAGGUUCACGAUUCCGCUAUUACGCAGUGAAAGUUUCAUUAAUGACGUCAAACGACCAAUGUGUCUAGGGAUUUCUGUUAAUUUGGGGCACCCCGAACAAUCAAGUUUAGAGAGAAGCUUCAGAUUAACAAUGCAGUUUGGAAGUGAGUCGAGAUCAGUGCAUUUGUGGAGCUCCAGGGAUCGAAGAUUAACCAAAUUGCCAAAUGAGGAAGGCAAUUCUUUAACAGCCGUAGAUGUUAAGUUAAUGUGAGCAAAAGUAUGAGCCGGCUCCGUGAUCUCUGGGAAGGACCUCAGCCUUGAGCAACCACCUAAAUCAAACUUCCUCAAUUUCAAAUUGAAAAUGGUGCUUGGAAAAGUUUGAAGUGAAUUACAGUGGGUAAGGUCUAACUUGCAUAGUCUGGUGAGGGUUCCAAUGGAAGAUGGAAUAAUCUGAAGAUUGAAGCAACUGCGCAAACUCAGUUGUUGAAGCCCUACCAAACGGCACAAGGAUGAAGGUAGUGCCUGUAUGGCUGUGUCGUCUAAGAUGAGCACCGCUAGAUCUUCCAACGUGUCCUGAAUCUGGGGUAAAUAUUCCAAUUUUGAGCAACCACGGAGAGAAAGUUGCUUUAGGAAUUUCAUAUCAGAAAGGUCAAACGGAAAGAUUGUAAGGGAAGAACAGUCAGAGAGAUCUAAGUAACAGAGGUUCUUGAGACUUUGAAAGUUCAAGGGCACACCUCCUCUGAGAUUUGCCGACACUUCAAAUUGUAAGUAUAGAGUAUUAUUAGCCACUUCUUCAU